AAAAAGUGGUGGUCGUAUCUCGACAGCUACAAUGGCUGGUAUCGUUGCUGGAGCAACGUCUGCUACUUUGUUGAUUGUAGGCAUCUUUUGGUGGAAUUGCUGUUAUAAAUUAGAUGAUGAAGUAUCUGGUGUUCUCUUUGGCGAUGAAUUCCAAAAUGGAAUGGAACUUAGGAAGUUUUCCUUGGUACAAAUAGCUAAAAUGACCAAUAAUUUCAACGGUGAAAAACUAGGAAAAGGAGGGUUUGGUGUAGUUUAUAAAGGGUACUUAAGGGACUCGGAUACUUAUGUUGCUGUUAAACGGAUUUCAAAGGCCUCUAAGCAAGGAAUUAAGGAAUAUGCAUCUGAAGUGAAGAUUAUUAGCCAAUUAAGGCACAAGAAUCUUGUGAAGCUUAUUGGUCAGUGUCAUGAAAAAGGAGAACUUAUACUUGUUUAUGAGUUAAUGGCUAAUAGCAGCCUAGAUUCCUAUCUUUUUAAAGGUAAGACCUUAUUGACCUGGGAAGUGAGAUUUAAAAUUGUGCAGGACCUGGCAUCAGCACUAUUCUAUCUUCAUGAAGAAGGUGACCAUUGUGUACUACACAGAGAUAUCAAAGCGAGCAACAUUAUGUUAGAUUCUAGUUUCAAUGCUAAACUUGGGGAUUUCGGGCUUGCUAGGCUAGUGGAUCAUGAAAAAGCGUCACAAACCACCCAUUUAGCUGGGACUUUGGGCUAUUUGGCACCUGAAUGUGUUUCAUCGGGAAAAGCUAGUAAGGAAUCGGAUGUCUACAGCUUUGGAGUUGUGGCAUUGGAGAUUGCAUGCGGUAGAAGAUCAAUAGAGUCCAAAUAUGAAGAAUCUCAAGUUCCAUUGGUAGCUUGGGUGUGGGAUUCAUAUGGAAGCCAACGGUUGCUUGAUGUGGCUGACCCAAAAUUAAGUAUGAACUUUGAUGCGAAACAAAUGGAAUGCUUGUUAAUGAUUGGAUUGUGGUGCGUCCAUCCAGACCAGCAUUUUAGACCGUCGAUAAGGCAAACAAUUCAGGUUCUUAAUUUUGAAGCACCAUGGCCGAAGCUUCCAAGUACGAGGCCAACUGCUACAUAUAAUGCACAAAUCACUUCAGAAAUUCAAACAAGUGAGCCAUGUUUUUCUGAUAUGAGUAUUAUGGUCCCGCGUUAGAUAUACAUAAUAUUCAAAUUGAUUGUCUAUUGACAAUAAUAUAUAUAUUAAUACAUAUUUAAUGAUUAAAUGCUUCAAAUAUAUGAAAUAAAUAGUUUAAAUUUACACAACAAUGGACAAUGAGCUACAAUAUGGCCGAAUAUUUGCUUGGCCGAACGAACAAAAAUACCCAAAAGGCAGACCCAAUCCGCCAUAUUUUUGUCAUUAAAAAUAAAAAGAAAUUAAGAAAGGGCAUAUUUGAGUGUUGGGCAAUUAAUUGAGUCAUAUUUUCAUGGGUUGUAUAAAAAACUUUUGAGUCGGAUACUAUGGCUUUAGGAUAUAGAUAUAUUAUGUAAAUUAUAAAAUUUUUGGGUCCAAUCGAAUUAUUAUUAUUUCUCCAAAGCCCGAAUUGAAUACAAAGAUGGGAUUCUUUAUAUAAUACAUACAGAUCUUAGAAAAAUUAAAAAAGUAAAAAGUAUACGAAUCCUAAAAAUUAUAGGCUACCACUACCACCACUUCAACAUCCGUGGUAACCGUGGCCGGGGCAAGGACAACAAAUAAUAUGCUCUGAUGAAGAGUCGCCACCACCACACAUGGAUGCACCUCCAACGUCACUAAUAUCGUUUAAUUAUUAAAAUAUUUUAAAAUAUAUUGUUUAAUUAUCUGUGGUAAGCUGCCAAAGAGUUUGCUUCUUUACCUUUUUGCAAAUCUUUGCUGAACUCUCUUGGUAAUCCUAAUUAACCACCAUGGUUUUCCAGUUGUGAGUACAAUGUAUCCCAAGCUUACUCCCAGCACCAACCCACAUCCGUAUCCCAUCAGUAUAGAAAAUCUCCAAUUCAGUUCAUCGUCAUCUCCAUCAAAUUUGGCUGGAAUUUUCUAAUCAUUAUCUCAUCUGUUUGGUAAUGGCAGCCCGCAAAAACCCAAGUUUCCUAUGUAGGAAUCAUUAGUGAAAGUAUUAAUUUGUUUUCCUUGAGGAAGGGGUCCUGUUAUAUUAUUUUGAGAAAGGUUUAACACCACUAAGAAUCCAAGAUUCGUUAAUUCCAUUGGAAUUCUUCCUUGGAACAUGUUUGAUGAGAGAUCUAAUGAUUCAAGCUCUAGCAAAUCACCUAAUGAUGAUGGGAUAGGACCUGUUAAACUAUUAUGAGAAAGGUUUAGGACAAUAAGUGAAUGAAGUUCACCAAGUGCUUUAGGAAUUUCUCCCAAGAAUUUAUUAUUCAAAAAGUCAAUUACCAUCCAGCUGGGUAAUAGUGAUUCAAACUCCAUUCCCAACCCUUUAGCUACAAAAGAUAAACCUUGCACAUCAUAAUACCACAUUCCAUUAGCCAUUGCAUUUAUCAUGUCUUCUGGUUCACCUUUCUUGUCAUACUCUUUUCUAAUGGCAUGCAAAUUCUCAAAAAAAAAAAAACUUGAUAGGUAAGUAGCAACUAAAAUUAUUAUGAGAAAAAUCAAUGACAUCCAACUUUUUCUGAUGAGUCACUCAUCUUUGUGUAUUGUGGUGGAGCAAUUGGAACAUAUACACACAUACAAAAAUUCAAAGAUGAGAAAUAUUUAGCUCUUGAUCAAAAAUCAAUUGUAAUGUGGGGUAUUUAUAACACGUAAAUCAACAUAAUCUCAUGUUGAAAUAGAAAGUUUAAUUCUCUUAAGUAAUAGUUUAGACAUAAAUCAAAGGUAUUUAAUCAAUAAUUUCUCUAAACCAUUAUGCGCAAACUUUUACAAAAGUUUUUCAAACUCAAUCAAUAAAAAAUUGAGAUAUGAACUCAUCAGUGUUAGUAAAAUGAAUUGUCUUAAUUGCAUUAUCUAAAACUAAUUGUUUAAACAAGCAAUCUUCCAAACAAUAGGUUGCAAAUUGAUAACACAUAUGUGAUUAUUUUGUAGAUGCAUCUACCAAAAUCAUAUAAUAUCAAAACCAUCCAUAUGGUGGAUGACUGGGCUAAUAUUCAUUUUAGAAAUGCAAAAUAUUGAAUCUCAGCUUUAGCUAGUGAGUUUGUAAUAAUCAAUUAUCAUUGAGAACAAGCAACACAUGAGAAUUUUUUAAAUUAAAGAAUCUUAUGAUUCUUUAAAUCUCAAUUAAUUUUCACAUCAUAUAUAAUCCAAGAUGGUUUAACUAGUCACGCCAAAUAGUAAAUGUCAAUAUAAAUUUUGACAAUUUAUAAUUUCAUCAUCAUUUUCUUUUAUUUUGUAUCGACAUAUAAACAAUAUUGUGAUAUUUACUUCAAGAAAUGUCUACAUUAAUGUGAAGUCCAUAAUGUUAUUAACUCACUAAAAUAAAUAUAAUUUGCAAUAUAUUCAGGUAAUAUGCCAAAAUCUUCAAAUGUUCAAAUUAACAUUAAUAAUCAAAAGAAAUUAUACAAUUUGUUAUAUUUAUUGCAAUCAUUCACUUCAAGGGAUGUGCAAAAAUCAGUGGAACAAAUAAUUUAUUAUUUUGUUUGACCUUAAAAAGGCAUUAGAUCAAUCCAAAAAUACUUUUAAAACCAUUUUCGCAAGAGUUUUUCAUUAUCAAUUAACUAGAAAGAAAUAACCAAAUCAUUCAUGGUGUUUAUUGCAAAUCAAAUGUACGGACAAAACUAACAUUUAAAAUAUCAAACUUGAUAUAAUGCUAGUGCCAACAAAAAAAAAAUCAUAAACCAUUGCAUACAUGUAUGAAAUUCACUUCAAAAUCAUACAUCCCAUGUUCACUAAAACUUUUCCAUUUAUAAUUGUUCAUAUAAUUUCUCUAAAUAAUUAACAAAUAUAAAGUGUAUGAAUUACCUUUAACAACUUUACAAAAAUAACAAGUUUCCCAAGGUUAUAUAGUAAGAAAAUAUAAGGCAUUUACAAAAUCAAAUCACACGAAUUGUUUUAAUGCUUCUUAUCAAACAACAAUUGGCUAAUACAAACAAUAUUCAUAUAAAUGCAAACGGUCAAAUUAAUAUAGUAAUUCUCAUUUAAGUUUGUGAAAAUGUUUUCAACCAAAAUAAUUCAAGAAUUAAAAAUGACAACAAUUAAAUUUGAAAUUCAAUAUUAGAACCAACCCAAAAAUCAAUUUAGACAUUCCUCAAAAAGUCUUUAAAACUACACAUGUAUGAGUAUUGAAAAAUUUCAAAUUGUAUAACCAAAAUAAUAAAAGACAUUAAAAGAACGUAAUCUAUAUUUAUAUUAAAUCAAAUCUGAACAAUCAUAAAUUUCAUAGCUUUAUCAACACAAAUUUACAUACUAUUAUAUUUUUAGCCAAAUACAUUAUUUAAUUAUAAAACUUACUAUAGCAAGAUAAAGAAGUCAAUUAAUAUUCAUUUUUAUGAACAAAUAAGAUGUUUUAAACCACAACCCAUGAAACCAAAACUUAAAUUAAAAUAAUCUCAAAUACUUAAACCAUAAAUCAAAUUGAUGUAAUAUCUAAAGAUGCUAUUAUUGAGAAUAAGUGUAAAGAUAGAGAUCUAAUGAAGUUUAUGUACCUUUCUUGUUCAACGAAGUCUUGAUGAUCUUAUUUCACAAUUUCAAUAGAUAGUGAUAUUAAAUCCUUCACCAUCAUUAAAUAAAAUAAACUUCCUGUAAAAACUUUGCAUCUUGCCAUCAAAGAUCUUGGAAAUCAUGGAGAAUAUAUUUGAUCGUCGAUAAAAGGAACUAUCACUUUGAGCAAGAUCGUGUUCAUAACGUGUUAUAAAAUAAAGAGACAUAGAGGGAAUAAAGAACAAAGAAAAUAUGAAAGCAAUAGAGGAUAUACUUCAUUGAUCAAAAGGGAUGAUUGCAAUAUUUUAUCAUAGUCUCUAUUUAUAGAUAUAAGAAGUAUAAAAGAGGUAGAGAUCUAAUUCAAAUAACUAUUAGAAUUUAAAGUACACCAAAACUUUGACGGUUUAUUUUCCUGCUUUUUGGUUUUGCUGCAUUGUUGGUUGGAUGUUGUCAGUCAUUGUAACACCCCUUAACCCUAAACCGUCACCAGAACAGGGUUACGGAGCAUUACCGGAUAUAUCGGAUAACUUAUAGCUAGUUCACAAAUAAAUAACAGAUAUAGCAUACUUGUAUUAAAUAUGUCAUAUUAGUUUCAUUUCAUACUACCAAAAUCAUUUCAUGAACUAUAUCAGUAUCUAUUUCUUGAACCGAUGGUUCAUACAUUUCAUUUCCAUAUCUCAAUUUAAUAUCUCAUUUCGAUUCAUAUUCAAGAUUAUUCAAUAAAAUUUAUAUUAUCAAAAUUAUUCAUUUACCCCUAUUAACUUGACUCGAACUUUGGCAGAUACACGGAUUCCAACCAACACACCAAUACGGCACAUAGUGCCUAAUACGGUACAUAGUACCUGAUCAGUAAUCAGUAACGGUAGCAGUAACAGUAACAGUAUUCAACACACAAAGUGCUGAAUCUGUAACAGUAACAGUAACAGUAUUCGACACACAAAGUAUCGAAUCAGUAACAGUAACAGUAGUCGGCACAUAAGUGCCUGAACAGUAAGCCGGCAAAAACCCGUACUCUUUCAUAUCCUAUGGCAUGCCAACUAUAUCCGACUCAACCCGACUAGUUAAUAGGGUGUUCAAAUCAUUUUUCUAUUUCAAAAUCAUUUUCGAUUCAAUCACAAUCCAGAUUCACUUCCCACUUUCUAAUCAAUAUACAAUUCAAUUCCAAUACAUAUUUCAGAUAUUCACAUAUAAUCAUAAUUUAAUCCACUUUUAUUCAAUUCAUAUUUUUAUUUUCAAUCUAUCAACAAAUAUAUUUCAUCAUACACUAUAUAAUUCAUGAAAUUAACAUUUAAUCGUUAAAUUUCAGCCAUAUGAACUUACAAUUUCAUUACCUUUCCACACUCAUUUCCAUUUCAAUGUAUAACUUAUAAAUUUAACGUGGCAUAAUCUAGCCACUACUUGGCCAAAGCCUAAGCAUGUACACCAAAUAUGUUAGCCAAAUACACAUAUAGCAUAAGCAUUAUAAGCAUGGAUGAGCACAACAUUUAUUCAUGUAUCACACUUACCAACAUGUGUUGAUUCAUAAACCAUUCAUGACAUUAUUUCAUGCCAAAUUAUAUACCGAAUAUACCAUAUACACAUACUAUGAAACUAUAUUUUCACACAUAAGCUUAGACCAUGACCAAUAAUGCACAAAUAUAAUCAUCAUUUCUAUUUCAUCAUUUAUCAAUUAUAAUCAAGUAUAUGACCAAUUAUACACAAAUCAUUCAUAUAUUUCCCAAUUUUCCUCCUCCUCAUCUCCAUUCCACAUCCUUAAUGUGUAUAACACACUUAAACUACAUUAAUUAUAAUUCCACUAUUCACUCACAUGUAUAUUCAAAGCUGUUUAUUCGGGUCAAAGUCACUAAAUUAUUUUCAUCCGGAGCUACAGAGCUCCAAAUUAAGAUCCGUUAAUUUUUCCUGAAACUAGACUCACAUAUCUUCUUGCCAUAAAAUUUCAGAAUUUUUGGUUCAACUAAAUAGUACAGUUUAUUCUUUAAAGUUUCCCCUGUUUUGCUGUCUAACAGUUCCGACCACUCUUCACUAAAAAUGAAUUGUCUAAUUGUACAAAUUCGGAUGAUGUUUCCGUUUGUUUCCUUUGAAAAUAGACUCAUCAAGGAUUCUAAGAAUAUAAAUUAUAACUCAUAAUUAUUUUUUUACAAUUUUUAACAAUUUUCCAAAGUCAGAACAGGGGAACCCGAAAUCAUUCUGACAUUAUCUCACAAAAUUUAAUAUAUCUCAUGAUUUAAAAUUCUAUUGCUUACACCGUUUCUUCUAUGAGAAACUAGACUCAAUAAGCUUUAAUUUCAUAUUUUAUUCACCCUCUAAUUCAAUUCCCACAAUUUUUGGUGAUUUUUAAAAGUUACACUACUGCUGCUGCCCAAAACUGCUUUAGUGUAAAAUGUUGAUUUCCAUUUUGCCCCCAAAUUUCAUAGUUUAUGCAAUUCGGUCCUUUCUCAAUUAACCCCUCAAUUAAUCUAAUUUUCUCAAUUAAUAAUUUACCUAGACAUUAUAAGUUAUUUCACAACUAUUGAAAUUCAGAAUUUUCACAUAUAACCCUAACUUCAAACUCUUUUACUAUUAGGUCCCAAACAUUUACUUUCUAUUCAUUUCUCUCAAUAAAACCAGUAUAUGAACAAUUUAAAGCUCUAAUUCCAUGCUAAAUCAUCAUAUACUUCCAGCAUGCAUUCAUAGCAACUUUCAACUUCUUUCAUAGAAUCAAAAACUAAUGAGUUCAACAAGUGGGCCUAGUUGUAAAAGUCACAAAAAUACAAAAACUUAAAGAAAUGAUCAAGAAUUGAACUUACUUGCAGUAAAAAUAUGGAGAACCAGCUUAAGGAAACCCUUCUAUGGUGUUUUAGCUGAUGAGAAUGCAGAAAAAUAAAGAGAAAUCUAGAUAAUUCCACUUUGGUCCUAACUUUAUUAAGUAAAUUUUACAAUAUUCCAAAUUUGCCCUUAAUUCUCCAGACUUUGUUGCUGAUUUCAUGCCCUUGCCGUCCAGCCCAAAUAGACUUUGGAUCUAUUUGCCUUUUAAGCCCUCUUCCUUUUAUCAUUUAAGCUAUUUAAUCAUUUCUCAAAAUUUUGCAUUUAUUACAACUUAGUCCUUUUUGUUCAAUUAAUUAUCGGAACUUUAAAAUUUAUUAACGAAACUUUAAUACUAACUUUUUAACACUCCAUAAAUAUUUAUAAAAAUAUUUAUGGAUCGGUUUAAAAUCUCCGAGGUCUCGAUACCAUGUUUUUUUAUUCUAAUUAUUUUAAUAUUUAUUUCUAGUGCACUAUUCACUAUUUCAAAAAUUUUCCUAACUUCACAUUUAACUUAUACUCACUAAAUUAAUAAUAUUUUCUACUCAUUUGUCGAAUUUAGUGAUCUCGAAUCACAGUUCCGACACCUCUAAAAACUCAGGCCAUUACAUUUUUCCUCGUCGGAGUUGUGGUCCAAAAAUCAUUGUUCCGACUAGACCCAAAAUCGAGUUGUUACAGUCGUUGUCUUGAGCCAUUCGCUCGGUUUUAAUGAAUAUCAGCUUUAUCUCAAAAAAAAAAGUACACCAAAACUUUAUCUUGAUCAUGAUGGACAUCCACUUAAUAAGAUGUUCAUAACAAUAAUUAAUUUUAAUUUUUAUAUAAAAAUAAUAUUUUAUACUUAAAAUAAUGAAAAUAUAUAUUUAAAAAACUACUUUCUAUUUUUACUUGAUAUUUUUAGAAAUAUUUAUAAAAUAUACUUUGAAAAUUUACCAAAUAUUAUUCAAACGUUCAUUUUAUUUAAAUAACUCUAAAAACAAAAAUCUAAUAUAAAAAAUAUAAAAACCAAACCAAUCCAAAUUAAAUUAAAUUAAAACAAAGCUGAUUUUAUUUAGACUGAUCACAUUCUUUGACACAAAUCCUACUCCUCAACGCCGUCUAUUCGGUGCAGCAAUUAAGUGGUGAAAACGGUGGGGAAACUCAUUGGUUUUGCGCUCCAUACGUCAAUAGCAAGACGUCUCUCGUUAUUUGUUGUCUUCUAAAAUUAUAUUUUUAGGGUAGAAAAACAUUUAUUUAAUCUUCCAAUGUCUCAAAAAUUAUUAUCAAAGGUUAAAAUAAUUUGUUUAUUUUAUUUAAUUCUCAAGUUUAAAAUCUAUGUUAUUAAUUAAAUAAAAAUUAUAUACCCUUUUUAAGUUUGGUAUGUGAUAAAAGUUUUUUAUUUCACAUAUAAAUCGCAUACAUCUUAAAGAAAUAAUAUUUCACAUGACAUUUAUAAUUACUCAUAAUUUUUUUAUUCAAAUUGAAUCUAUUAGGGAUGAAUUUAAAAUUAGUAUAAUAGUAAAUAAAUGUUCGGUGUAAUGAUAAAAUAUAUUAUAUUUUUUAAAAAAAUUUCAUAUUUAAAUUUUAAAAAUUACAUUAUUAGGAAAUAAAUAAUGAAUGCUAAAAAGAAUUAAUCUUAACAAAUCGUAAAACGUUGUGAAGAAUACUUUAAUUAUAAAAAGAAAACAAUGAAAGGGAAAUUGGUUAAUGUGGCCAAGUCAAGGUCUUUGCAUUGGCCAUAAAUGAAAACAUUUACUUGUGAAGAUAGGGAGUUGAGACUUUUGUAAGUCAAGGUCUUUGCAAUUUGCAAACGUAUUGAUUGGCUCAACCUAAACACGUGGGAGUGGAAGCAAUAGUUAUAUGCUCUUCAUUUGUUUUUUCUUCAAAAAGAAAAUCAAACUACAUUCUCACCAUGUUAAAAUUGAAUAUAAACUUACUUAGGGUGUGUAGUAAUUUUAAAUUUGUGAAGAUUUUUAAAAUGUUAGUAUCAAGGGGUGAAUCUGAAAUUUUUUGGAAGAGCCGUGAUUAAGUUAUAUAUUUUUAUGAGAGUUUAAAUGUAAUUUUUCUAAUGUUUUAGCAUAUAUCUUUAUAGUUUUAAGGCUACAUCAAAAUUUUAUCAAUUUUAAGGGUUAAACUAUAAUUUUCUUUAGGGGUGAAGCUAGAAUUUUUUUUAGGGGUAAAAUUAAAUUAUAAUUUUUACGAUAGUAAAAAUGUAAUUUCAUCAUUUGAAUAUCCUAUAUUUUUAUAAUUUUUAAAGGAUUAAAUCAAUUUUUUAUCAUUUUUAGGGGUGGCCAAAAUUUACCUUUACUAAUUUAAAAUUUUAAAAAUUCUAAAGGAUCUAAAUGAAAAUUAUUUCAUUUUUGGGGGGACCAGGACCCUUGUCAACCCCCUAAAUAUGCCCCUAAUUUUAUUAUGUAUUAAUUUAAACUUUAAUAAAUUUUGAGGGGCCUAAAGCAAAACUUUCCAAUUUUAGGCCCAAGCCUUUGCCUGCCCUUGAAUUUUAAACUUAUGAAUUGAAAAUAUUAGUAUUUGUAAUUAUUUUGUUUGUAUAAAUAACUUUUUUUAGAAAGAUUUAGAAUAUUGAAUUUUAUGAGUUAAAAUAUAAUUAUGAAAGAAAAUUAAUGAUAUUUUUUGAUAUAGUAUUUAGAACUAUUUAUAGUCUCUCCCCAAUCAUUAAAUAAAAGGAUAACGUACUUCAACGCACUCUAAUCCACAUUUUCCUACACUAGUAAUAAUGUCGAUACCGGUGGAGUUAAGACUCAAUCAACAAAAAAAUUUAAUGAUAUUAAAAAUAAAUAAUAUAAAAUUAUAAAAUUAGAUUUGUAAAAAUAUAUAAAUAUUAUAAAUAAUAUAAAAUAUAUUAAAUAAAUAAAUAAAAAUAACAUGUUGUAGAUGAGAAAAUUUGAAAGACUAACUUUUUCAUAUGAAAUUUGAAUAAAAAAAUUCGAAUUACUCAAAUCACCUUUUAAAAUUUCUUUUAAAUUUUAAAUUCUUAUUUUUAUCUAACCAAGUAAAUAUAUUUUUGAAACUUUUGAAAACCUUAGUAGAAACUAAAUUCUUCCUCUAAACCCCUUAUCCAAAUAUACUUCAAAUUAUACUCUUAGGGUUUAUAAUUUUACAUUCAAUAAAUAACAAAUUUUGUAUUAAAUAAAAGAUAAUUAUUUGAGGUAUUUGUGGCGAAAAUUUUUAACUAUACGAAUAGAUUGAGAAAUUAACACAUAUAUUUAAAUUAUAUUUAAAAAAUUUAAAUAAAUAAAUAAAAUAUGUGAUAAAUUUUUAAUACCACUUGUAAAGAUAAUCUGACACUUCUAUCACAUUUUUACAUUUCAACAAAUAAGUAACUUGAGUUAAAAACAAACUUUAAUUUAAAAUCAGUUUAAACAGGCUUUUAAGGAAAUUUGUUUAUAUUCUAAUUUCAACCUUUGUUAUGAAUUAACUUUUUUUUUUCUUAUAAUAUAUCAAAUAUUAAAAAAAUAAAUCAAGGAAAAUAUGAAUAAGUGGACCUAUUCAUAAACAUUUAGUUUUUUUUUGUUUUUAAUAAACAUUUUCGGCUUCAACGUAUAUGUAUGGGACCUCCCAUGCAAAAUAUUUUAACAACUUGCUAAUAUAUAAAUUAUUUUCAUUUGCAAAGGGUGAGUUUGGAUGGGUUGUGCGUUUACCUGUAGUUAGUAUAAUAACAGCAGUGGCGGUGAUAUUAAAUACUGUAGCGAUACUGUAACGUGAAACAAAAAGUAGACUAAACGCACCGCAUCCAAUCCCCCAUCCAAACUCACCAAAAAUCAUACAAAACAUCCAGUCACACUACAAUAAUUGAACAUUUCUCAUAUCUCAAACCAAAGUGUUCACUCUACCUCUCUUUUUCCAUUUUUCUCCAUAGGCGGCCAGAUAAUUUUCUUCGUCUUGCUUUUUGAUUCAUUUUCUAAGAAACUUCCCAAAAUUUCAUAGUCUAAUAUCUUUAUGAAAAACCCAAUCUUUCAAUCCAUUUUGUGUUCUUUCAAAUCAAGCAAAGAGGAGCUCUAGAAUCCCUCUCCAGAAAUCCUCCAACAUGUUCAUUCAUCGACUCCUUUUUGCUUCAAUAUUCAUAGUGUGUUGCCUCACAACGCUUACAAAUGGAGCUUCACUUCCAAAUGGUGAAGGUAAUUCAUAAUAUUACUCUACAAAGAAGCUUGAUUUGCUUAAUUAUUUUUUUUAAUAAAUUUCAGUACCCUUUUUCUUUUGUUAUAGUGGAAGCUUUGAGAAGUAUUGGUAACACAUUGGGGAAGACAGACUGGAACUUUAAUAUUAAUCCAUGCGAUCAAGGCGAUACUUGGUUGAACCAAUCCACACGUUAUUAUGCUAAUAAUGUUACUUGUGAUUGCUCCUUCAACAAUAACACCAUCUGUCAUGUGGUUCGCAUGUAAGUAUAUACAUAUUAUAAUGAAAAUUUAUCCAUCAUUGAGUUGUGACCAAACUUGAUACAUCUAUUCAUGGAUUAUAUAUAGUUUUAGAUCUCAUCUAAAGUUUACUAAAAGUGAGAGAGAGGCAUGAUACAACUAUGAGAUAGAGAUAUAUAAUAAUUUUGUCUUUGAAAUUGUCCAUUUGUACCUAGUUGGUCCUUAAAACUUUUUUGAACUUAGUUGAUCCCUGAACAUGUAUUUCAUCAAUCAGGUUAGUCCCUCUACACUAGUACCAUUAGUUUGUGCUACUGUGACAUUUUAGCCAAGGACGAAGCUAGAAAUUAUUUUAGGGAAGGCCAAAAUUAAAUGUUAAUUUUUAUGAUAGUAAAAAUGUAAUUUCACAAUUUGAAUAGUCUAUAUCUUUAUAAUUUUUAAAGAAUUAAAUUAAUUUUUUAUAAUUUUGUGGGGUUAAAGUGUAAUUUUACCUUUAUUAAUUUAAAAUUUAAAUAAUCUAAAGGGCUUAAAUGAAAAAUUUUCUAUUUUAGGGAGGUCAGGGCACGACCAACCUCCCUAACUAUGCCCCUAUUUCUAGCCAAUCUAGUAGUACCACGUAGUAACCUCUCAAACAUAAUUUAUAUUUCUUAGUUUAUGUUUAUCAUGUGACAAAAACUAUAAUAAUUAGACUACAAAUAUUCAAAUUAAAAAAAAUAAGAGGAUUAAAUUUUUAAGUUUUAAAAUAAAAAUAUUAAAUCUCAAAUUUUGUAGAAAUACAAGUACUAACUUCAUAUAAUUUGUUAAUAUGUUUUAGGGUUAAAGAGGUUGUGAGACUGUAUGUAUAAUUUUGGUUAGCAACCUCAAUUAAAUAUUUUGUCUUUGUUCAAGAUUUCCUUUUUUGAAUGGGUUAUGACGACUUUUGAAGUUUAAAAACAUAUAUAAAUGUUAAAUAAUUGCUUAAUUAAUUUAUUUAUAUAUUACAUAAAGCUUUUAAUUUUGGGGGGUCAAUAUAAAGCUGUCAAAUUAUGACUUACUUUAUCUUUGACUGUUGAUAAUAAAUUUAUGACAGCUACUUGCUUGCACAAUUUUAUCUAAUUCUCUUAAUAAAAGUCAAUAGGUUGUGAUGUGAUUAAUAAAUUAAUAACAACUAAUUCUAUAUAAUUACAAUUAAAAGAUAUUAUUAUUUAAUUUUUAAUACAAUAAAUGUCAAAUCAAAAUCCAUGAAAUGUGCUGACAGGAGUGGUAAGUGGAUGACAAUGUAGUACAAUUAAUUUAAGAGCCACUGUUUAGGGUGAGUUUGAAUGGGCAGUGCGUUUACCUGCGGUUAGUAUAAAAAUAGCGGUGAUGGUAAAAUUAGAUAUUAUAAUAAUACUGUAGUGUAAGAUAAAAAAUAGGUUAAACGCACCAUACCACAUUCAAUCUCCCAUCCAAACUCACUCGAAAUCGCCACCGCAUGUCGGUCCAACCUUUUGUUGGCCACCAACGUCUCUCUUUUGAAAAAUGCCUUAACAACAUACUAUCCAAUUUUAGCCUUUUACUUUAUUCUUAAUAUAUUUACACGAUACAUAUGUUAGCUUUUUUAGUCUACGACUAGUUUCAUGAUACUUGUUUAAAUUGGAUCAAAUAGAUUAAUUCAAUCCGUUAGAUUAUUGAUUUAGAUAUUUGUAUUAAAUUAAUUGACUCAAGAUUUAGUAUAUAUAGUUUGAAUUGUUUUUUUUUACUUUUUAUUUAUUUAAUUAAAUGGUUUGAAUUGAAUUGGCCGAAUUAAGAAAUUAACAACUUGACUAAAUUGAACGAUGAUUUAAUUUUAAAAAUCUUAAAUGUUACAGACGUAGCACAUGAUUUUAUGUAUUUAACAUUUUAUUUAAAUAAUAUAUUUAUACUUAUUGUAAUUGGUUUUUUAAUACAUUAAUUGAAAUGUUAAACAUAAUUAAUAUAUAUUAAUUUACUCAAUAAUUUAAAUAUAAUAAGAAAAAAUUUUCAAUUAUAAUUAAAACAUUUAUAUUAUAUUAAAAAUGAUAUAUUUUAAAUUGAAAAUUUUUAUAAUAAUAAAUUAAAAUUAAAAUAUUUGUAUUAUAUUUAUAUUCGAUAUACAAUAUAAUUUUAUUUCAUUAAUUAAUUCAAAAUAAUAUUAUUCAAAUAAUAACCAACAUAUAUAUAUAUACUUGCUUUUUUAUUCUAUGACUAAUAUAAAUGUUCUUUUAAUAGCUUAAUUUGAAAUUUACAUAUAAUAAUUAUUUAGAUAUUUCCUUUUUGCUUGAGAUCCAGGGAUAGAAGUAGCCAGGAUCUUCGCUCCAUUACUUAAAUAAAAAUAUUAUUUUUUUAAUCUCUUAGAAUUUAAAAAUUUUAUUUUAAAUAUUUUUAGUCCUUAUAAACUAAAUAAAAAAAUGCUUAAGAUUUUUUUUUAACUUUCAAAAGAAUCUCAAAUUUUUUUAUCUAAAAAUAUUUUAAUUUUUCAAAAUAUUUACUAAAACGAAUCUAAUAAUUAAUUCUCCGUAUUAUGUAGAUUCACGAUUUUAAACAAGAUUAAAAAGAUGGUUAAUGUUAAAAAAUUAUGACUUUUGAUUACCGGGUUUUUACCAAACACAUAUUGAUUCUGAAUGUGAAUUUUUUUAUUAUAGAUUUUAGCAACAGACCCCUAACUUAGUUUCUGUAUCAGAUUGCUUAAGUCACAAAAUCUCUCGGGGACUCUCCCACUAAACUUGACAAGUCUCCCUUUCUUGCAAGAAAUGUAAGCACAUUUCAAGUGUUCCUCUAUAAUGAUAUAUAUAAAUGAAGAUUAUUUGUUUUUCAGCAACUAUAUAUCUACUAAUUUGUUGUUUUAAAACUACUAUUACAGUGACCUAAAUCGCAACUAUCUUAGUGGCACCAUUCCCUCAGAAUGGGGUUCUGCUACCCGACUCGUCGGCAUGUAUGUUUUCUCCUACUUUCUCUUUCAUGGUUGUAUGUAUAUAUCUUUCAUGGUUUUGAAAUAAUUUCUCGUAACUACAAUAUGUACGCAUGUAUAUGUAAAUGUUGUUAAAUGCAAAUGAUGUGCUGUAUUUCAGUUCCCUUUUUGGAAAUCGAUUAACAGGCCCAAUCCCAGUAGAGCUAGCAAAUCUCAGAAAUCUUACCUCCUUGUGAGUUAGAUUAUAUCAAUUUCUUUUAUAUAAAUAAAUAUAUAAGAUGAUGAUAACUUUUUUUCAUCUUUUUAAUGAAUGUCUAAUGGUUAAUUAAUUUUAUUUAUUGAAAAAACAUUGUGUAGAAUCCUUGACAACAAUGGUCUUUCAGGAACUUUGCCUGCAGCACUAGGGAGUCUAUCCAAAAUUGAGCGAUUGUAAGAGAGAUUUUUUUUUUUCCUUUUUAAUUCUAGCUGGAUUUCAUUUCAUUAUAUGUGCAGUAUUUUUUAUCAUGUAAAUGAUUUAAGAUCUAUUUAUUGGUUUUUUCAGACAUCUUGGUUCCAACUAUUUUACUGGUAAAAUACCUGAAACCUUUGCUAGUCUGACUUCAUUGAAGGAAUUGUAAGCAAUUCUAUUUUCUAGUGUUCCUUUUAAUACAUAUCAUUCGAUAUUUUCAAUAUAUUUUAUAUGAUAUAGUUUUGAUAAUUUUGUAUUCUCAACAGUCGGAUUAGUGACAACAAUUUUACAGGACAAAUUCCUGACUUCAUAUUCCGAAAUUGGACAAAUCUUGAAGAGAUGUGAGAAUUUAAUUUAACAUUUUCUUUGUAUACUUUAAGUUUUUUUUUUAAUUCAUUAGAAUUUUUGUUUUAUCAAUCAAUUAAAUGAAUCUAUCAUUUUUGUAAUGACAGAUAUAUGGAGGGAAGUGGUUUGAGUGGACCAAUUCCAUCCAUUAAUGCUACUUUACUUAACUUAACAUACAUGUAAGCUCCUAUGAUCUUAAAAGAUGGUGACAAUAUUCGUUAUAUAAAAAUAAAGACAAUUUAAAUUCUUAUUUUUGUUUGUAUAUGACUCUUGAUAUUGUUGUACAGAAUAAUUAGUGACUUGAAUGGAGCUGAAACAAAUUUUACACAACCACUCAUCGAUGCCAGUUUGCCUAAAUUGGAUAGACUGUAAGCAUAAAUCUGAAAUAAGGCAAAGAUAUAUUAGAGUUAUGAGAUAUUAAGGAGUUCCAAAAACAAAAACAAUGGAAUUAUUUUGUGAUUGAAUUAUAGGAUGUUGAGGAGUUGCAAUCUCAUUGGAGAGAUACCUGCUUCUUUUGGGACAUUUACAUCCAUAAAGAUAUUGUAAGUAAUUACACUUUCUUUUGAGAGGUUCAAGUUCAGUUUGAUUGUAGACUUACGUGUGGUUUAAUACCUGUUUUACAAAUUUUCUUGUAGAGAUCUCAGCUUUAAUAGACUUAGUGGAAAAAUUCGAGAUGAGCUUUCUAAUCUUGAUUUCGAAUAUCUGUAAGGAUAUGGCUUUUAGUUGUAGUUUGUAAAUUGCAUUUUCUUUAUUUAUAUACUCAUUUGGAUUUUAUUAGGUUCUUAAAUGGAAACAAUUUUAAUGGAUCAGUCCCUCAAUGGAUACUCGAAACAAGAGAAAAAGUGUAAGAUUCUCUUUCUUAUUUAAAUGCUCAAUCCCAUUGAUUAUAGUUUGAUUAACCAAAAUCAAAAUUAUUGCACAAAGAUAGUUAAUUAUUAUUUAUUGAUUCUCCUACAUUAAUUAGUAGUCAAGGAUUUGAUCUUCUCACUGUGUAUGAAGUAGUUUUAUAACUCGUGUCCGACAUCUAUCUUCUUAGUGAACAUACAAAUAAAAAGGAUUAAUCAGUGACUUGCUCCGUAUUCUAAAUGCAGGGAUCUUUCUUAUAACAACUUCACAAACACAGGUGUAUCAGAUUGCCGACAAAAUAGCGUGUACGACAACUUCCUCAUCCAACUUCAUUACUGGAUCUUUCUUAUAAAAUAUCAAUCAUUUUUUUGUUAUAAUUUUUCCUCCAUUAUCGACCUGUAGGAACUUGUUCUCAAGCAUUGCAAGAGUCAAUAACACGUAAGUAUUAAGACAACAACAAUCAUUAAACUAAGUCUUUGUCUUUCAUCUAACUUUAUAAUUGUUUUAUCAGGGGAAUUGUUCCAUGUUUGACAAGCCAAAUUACCUGCCCAUCAGAACGUAAGUAUUUAUAUAUAUUUGAUGCACUAAUAAUAUAACUCAAUUAUUUUAUUCAAACUGUUGUUGAUUGUUAUUUUCCUCAGCUUUGCACUUUGUCCAUAUAAAUUGUGGAGGGAGAAAAAUAACUGUUAAUGGCAUCACUUACGAAGCCGAUUUCGGUCAAGCCGGGACUUCGACAUUUUACCGCAGUAUUACCAACUGGGCAUUUAGCAGCACCGGAACUUUUCUAAGCGAUGACCGCCCCGACGACGUCUUAGAUUUGGAAAGUAGACAACUUUCUAGCAAUGGUGGCAAUGAACUGUACACAGAUGCAAGGGUUUCGCCUAGUUCUUUGACUUACUACGCAUUUUGCCUUGCCAAUGCAACUUACAAUGUAAGCCUCCAUUUCGCCGAGAUUCAGUUCACUAAUGGUGAAACUUAUAGCAGCUUAGGGAGGCGGAUGUUCGAUAUUUACAUUCAGGUAUUUUUAAUAUCGUUCUUGCUAGAAUUUCUGUUUAUAUUAUUCUUUAGAUAUAUAUAUAUUACGUUAUCCGGAUUUAAACUGAGUGUCAAAUUUUUCGUAAGAGUAUGUUCCGUGUCUUUAAAAAAUUUAAAAUUUAAGCUAAAUGUUAAAACUAAGCUUUACGACUUGUGCUGCAUGGAAAGUGAAGUUCAAUGGAAUGGAUUAUAUUAAUUGCAGGGAGAGCGGGAGAAGCAAGAUUUCAAUAUUGUAGUAGCAGCAGGAGGGGCAGGCCUAUCAAGAGUAGAAAGAUUCAAUGCAAAUGUAACCGAUGGCACUUUGGAGAUUCAUUUCAGAUGGGCUGGAAAAGGGACGACUUCUUUGCCCGAGAGAAGCAUUUACGGUCCGCUAAUCUCAGGAAUCUCUAUUUUCAAUCCUGGUAGGUUUUCAACUUCCAUUGACUCUUAUUGUCUCCGAUUAAUCGCAUUUACCCGGACAUUUAGAGAACAAAAACUCUAUUCUUGAAUCUAUAUUAUUAUAAAGGGGCGGAUUGAAUUUGGUUAGAAUAAAAUAAAAUAACUUUCUUUAAUUCUGAAAAACAUAAGAAUAAAGGAUAUAACUAUUAUCAAGUAUAAUUUUUUUUAAUUAUAUAAGAUUAAGGGUGGAGAUGGAUUAAUAUAAUUUUUAGCUUCUGACAAGUAGGUUCAUUUUAUUUUUAUUUUUAUCCCCUUUAGUAUCUGAAUUUCACAACUAAAUCCCUUUUUUUAUCCAUAAAAAUUUGAUCAAUUGGCACUUUAUUUAAAAAGAAAAUUCAAGUGAUGACAUGACACAAUCUCAUAGUACCAUGUCAACAAACUUUUACACUUGCCAAAUUCAAAGAUAAAAAUGGACCUAUCUAUCAAUUUUAUAUACCAAAGUGAACAAAAUAAUACAAAUAUUAAAAUAGACUUCAUUGUCAAAUUGAAAGACUAAAAGUUAUAUUAACCCAUAUGUAAUUUAUAAAACUACCAAAUUCAAAUAUAGGUUCCUUAUUUUCUUUUGAGUUAAUAUGUAGUUUUCAGUAAAAGUACAAUAGAAGCCUAUGUAUUAGGAAUCAAAUUUUAUUUUGCUUUAUUUACUAAAAAGUAGAUAAGUUAGUUCUUGUACUUUAUAUCAAAGAGCAAAUUGGUCCUGUAUAUUAAAAUUUUUAUCUAUUUCUAUAGUUAAAAACUAGUCAACUAGCAUGGUUGACGAAAAAACUAACUUCUUAUUUUUAAAAAAAUUAUUUAUUUUUUGAAUUUUAUAUGAAGUGUAAAUGGACUACCACAUCAAUGCUAUUAAAAUUGUCGUGGUCCAAUCAAUUUUUUAUUCAAAAAAAUAAAAAUUUAACUAAAUUUUGAAUACUAAAAACCAAAAUGACAAAAAAGUAACUGCUAGUGCUAAAUUUAUCAUUAUUACUCUACAAAAAUCAUUGAAUUCUGUUGAAGUGAAUUUCUCCCCUUUAUCAAACCUCAAAGACUUAAUCACAUAGCCACUCUUCUUUUCCACAAAAGUUUUCAAAAAAAAAAAAAAUUUAAUGCAUCAAAUUUUUGCUUUAAGAAGUAAACUCAAGUUUUUCUAAAUAGCAAAAAAGCAUUUGUUUUUAGCAAAUGAUACAGCUGACUUUUUCCACACGCAUUGAUAUCAACAUGUUGAAGUGGCUUGACUGCCUUUAAUGUCACUUUUUAAGGAAAGUCCUUCUCUUGCGUUCUUGCUUCGAAGACAUGCCUCACACAAUUAAUUAGGAUAGUUAAUUUACAAAGUUCAAGUGACUAAGCCUUAUAUACUGACAUCAUGAUUCUUUCGAUUAUCUUCAAAUCCAACAUAAAUAUCACAUUAUUUGAGAUGAAUACUUUGCAAUCAAGUUAGAACCAUAAACUUUUAAUUAAAAACAAUUUUUCAUGUGAAAUUUCAAAUUAUUAUUUAAAAUUUUGUCUUAAACUCGAAAUAUUAUUUUAUAGCUUAAGACUAUCUUUUAAAAAUAAAUUAGAAUAUAUAUUUCCAUUGAAUUUCGACUUUCGAAAAGUUUACAAAUGAAACAUUGUCAGAAAAUGUUUUCAUCGUCAUUUUCUUCAUUUUUGAGUGUUCAAAACAAAGUUGGCUUAUCUUUAAUGAGAUUGAUGUUUUCUUCAUUUUUGAUAGUAUCAUUUUGGCAAAUUUAUAAUAAAAGUAACAUUUAACAUUAUACGAGAACACCUCAUUUUGUCUAAUCUCAAGUAAUUUUGUCUUUGCUCUUUCACAAUUUCUAGUUGAUGAGUUACCGCUAUCAUUGUUGCAAUUACUGUGAUCACCUCUUCCACAUCCUCCUUGGCCAAAGCCAUGUCCUCUUCCUCUUUCUCAUCCUCAACAUCAACUUAUUUAUGCUUUUCUUUUCAUUUAUCUUUUAAAUAUAAAUUGGUUUUGAAAACUUGCUCCAAUGACUCAUUUGCUCUUCCUUUAAACUUUUCUUAUUGAUCUUGUAACUCAGUCAUUACUUGGUCAACUGCCGUACAAUCUAAAUAUUUUGACUCAAUGACACAAAUAACGUAAUCAAAUUUUGGAAUCAAGGAAAGAAGAAUAUUUACGUUCAUAUUAUUAUCUUGCAAUGUUUCUUCAUAUCUCUUUAUUUGAUUCAUAAUAGCCAACAUCUUUAAAUAAUGAUUCAAUUUUUUUUUCAAAUUACUUCAUUCGCAAAAUACCAAGUUUAUUUUUCACUUUGUCAACUCCUUAAAAAGAACUUUACAAAACUUUCCAAGCUUCUUUUGUGGUAAUAGCAUUGAUCACUUUCACAAACAUCAAUUCUUCUAAACAUUAGUACUAGUGGACGAGGGUGAAACUUUGUUGAUCCUUCUUUAUUGUCUUUACCAAAGCAUCUUUCUCAUUUUACAAUAAUGAUAAAUUAUUUUGUGGAGGAUAAUAACCAUAUCUCGUGAGAUUGGAUAAGAUAAACCAAAUAAUUAAUUAAUAACAUAUGAACAAAUGUACUUAAAUUUGCAUACAUAAUCUAGAAAUUUAAAUUACAUAUCCAACCAAGGAUAGAACUACACCUCUUUCCUUUUUUCGAUAUCUUAAUAACACUUGUAUAUAAUGAUUUGAACCAAGAUUUUCACGUCGUCUUUGGAGCUGACUCUUAUAUGUAAAGUUUUUAAACCAGGUUAUAAACCUCCAUCAAAAAGCGGCAGUGGUCCUCUACCGAAAAAGGUUGAUCGUAUCUCGACAGCUGCAAUGGCUGGUAUCGUGGCCGGAGCAACGUUUGCUACUUUUUUGAUUGUAGGCAUCUUUUGGUGGAAUUGCUGUUAUAAAUUAGAUGAUGAAAUAUCUGAUGUUCUCUUUGGCGAUGAAUUCCAAAAUGGAAUGGAACUUCGGAAGUUUUCCUUGGUACAAAUAGCUAAAAUGACCAAUAAUUUCAAAGGUGAAAAACUAGGAGAAGGAGGGUUUGGUGUAGUUUAUAAAGGGUACUUGAGGGACUUGGAUACUUAUGUUGCUGUUAAAAGGAUUUCAAAGGCCUCUAAGCAAGGAAUUAAGGAAUAUGCAUCUGAAGUGAAGAUUAUUAGCCGAUCAAGGCACAAGAAUCUUGUGAAGCUUAUUGGUCAGUGUCAUGAAAAAGGAGAACUUAUACUUGUUUAUGAGUUUAUGGCUAAUGGCAGCCUAGAUUCCCAUCUUUUUAAAGGUAAAACCUUAUUGACUUGGGAAGUGAGAUUUAAAAUUGUGCAGGACCUGGCAUCAGCACUAUUCUAUCUACAUGAAGAAGGUGACCAUUGCGUACUACACAGAGAUAUCAAAGCGAGCAACAUUAUGUUAGAUUCUAGUUUCAAUGCUAAACUUGGGGAUUUCGGGCUUGCUAGGCUAGUGGAUCAUGCAAAAGCGUCACAAACCACCCAUUUAGCUGGGACUAUGGGCUAUUUGGCACCUGAAUGCGUUUCAUCGGGAAAGGCUAGCAAGGAAUCGGAUGUCUACAGUUUUGGAGUUGUGGCAUUGGAGAUUGCAUGUGGUAGAAGAUCAAUAGAGCCCAAAUAUGAAGAAUCUCAAGCUUCGUUGGUAGCCUGGGUGUGGAGUGCAUAUGGAAGCCAACGGUUGCCUGAUGUAGCUGACCCAGAACUAUGUAUGAACUUUGAUGCUAAACAAAUGGAAUGCUUGUUAAUGGUUGGACUGUGGUGCGUCCAUCCAGACCAGCAUUUAAGACCAUCUAUAAGGCAAACAAUUCAGGUUUUUAAUUUCGAAGCACCGUUGCCGAAGCUUCCAGGUACGAGGCCAAAUCCCACAUAUGAUGCACAAAUCACUUCAGAAAUUGAAGCAAGUGAGCCAUGUUUUUCUAGUAUGAGUAUUACAGUGCCGCGUUAGACUCAUAUAAUUAUCAUAUACAUAAUAUUCAAAUUUUAAAUUUACACAACAAUGGACAUAGGGCAUAUUUGAGUGUUGGGCUAUUAAUUGGGUCAUGUUUUGGGCUUAGUACUCUCCUAAAUUUUGGACUGUUGUUCCAACAAUUAAUCAACUUUUAAAUACGUCUAAUGGUUGAAUUAAACAAAUUUAAAUUAUCGAUUACAAAAGAACAUAUAAACUUAUAAAACUAAUUUAUUUUUUUUCUUGUUGUAUGUAAUUCUUCCUUUUCAAAUCUAUACUUAUUAUAAAACCUCUUAUUAAAUUGAUGUCACUUUAUAAAAUAAAUUACAUUAUAUUUAGAAUAUUUUUAUCAUUUUAUAUAUUUUUUAUAGAAAAAUAAACACAUAUAAUAAGAUUUUAAGCUCGCAUCUUUUUAUUUUUUUUAAAAAAAAUCAUGUCUCUUUAAAAUUUUUUAGAUUUUUAUAUUACCAUUCAAUCAAAACAUCAUUUAUUGUUUAUAUAUUAUUUUUUAGGAAUAUAUUUAUUAUAUGGUUUAAUUUUUCACCCAACCUAUCAACCAAAAUUCACUAUUCAUGUAUGAAAAUUUCAAAAAUAAUAUUUUUUAAUUUUUAUAUAUUUAGAUUUAAAUUUAAAUAAAAUAAUUUUAAUGAAUAAAUAAAAAUUAAAUCCAGAUCGUGCCUACAGAAAACUUAAAAUUUCCUUAUUCAAGAUCGGGGCUACCAAGCUGCUUAAUCCUUCAAGUAUAAAUAAGGUCCUAUAAUUAUUAAAAUAUUAAAAAAUAAUUUUAUUUUAAUGAUAAUUCAAGUAGAGCUUAGCUCUCCUAAAUGGAAAAAAUCUCUUCCAGACACAACCGAAAGACAAGUCAACAAUUUCUGUAUUACCAAAUAAUAUAGUAUAAAAAUAUUUCAAUUUUUUUUGUUUGGAGGUAACAAUAUUUCAAUUACUAUUCAUAUAUAUGUAUGUAUGUAUAAUAGCUAGUUGGAAUGUAAAACUUUUGCAAGUCAAUUAAUUAGGUCAUUUAUCAUAUCAUUGCCCUCUUUUGUUAACUACUAGUUCAAAAGAUUGAGGAAUAAAUUUGAUUUUAUUUGGGAUUCAUUUUCUACAGUGCUUUAGCUAAUGUUUAAUGAAAUUAAUUGCUUGUUGAUUUAGCUAAUUGCCGGUAGUUUAUGAGUGGCAUUCAAUAUUACUAACUAUAAAUUGCCAUUGAGGUAGUUAAAAGCUCGUCUAAUUUACUUGAAUAAUUUAAUGAAGAAAAUCGUUUAACCUAGUUAUAUGCUAUUUAAUUGAAGAUAUUUUAGUCCCUCUUCUUAGCCUAUUCUAAAAUUGCUCCUGAUAAGAUUUGAAAAAAGAUAACUCAUAUUUUUGCUGAGCUGUAAAAUUGGUUAUUUCAGCUAACUAACUUUAUCCUCUUUAUUACCAAUUUAUGUAUAAAUCUGCUACCCCUACUAUUGACAAAGGCAGACCGGUUAAACGACAUUUCAGCUUACUUCUCUUGUUUGUUGUAUUUUUCUACUCAUGAUACUUGUUUCCUAAUUCCUCUAUGGAAACAAAUUUUUGGGUUUUAGAGAUUGGGUAAAUUAACCCUUCAAAUGUGGAGGAUCGAUUAAGAUUUUGCAAUUGUUUUAGAAGUUAUAUCUUCGAUUGAUUGUAUUUUGAUUAUUAUGAUUGUAUUAACUAUUUUUAAGAAAUUACUUUAUAUUCACUUAAAUUUAAUGUUAGCAAGCCGGAUUGAAUAUAUGAUGAGAGACUUGUAUAGAUUUUGUAUGAAAGUUUAUUGAGUGCAUUCGAAUCUAUUCAUUAAUUAAAUAACAGUUUAUAAGAGAGAGCAAGUUAUAUUGUAAACAUUAUUGAGGGUGUUUGAUGCCUAAGUUCUCAAGGGGGUUUUGGAGGUUAGUAUUCUAGUUCUUGGGUAUAAAUAUGAGAUCUCUAUACUUGGGGAGUGGUGGAGUGUGACUCAUUUUUUAUAUUCGUGUUCAAAGAUAGUAAAAUUACUCACUAAACUAGACUUCGCAAACAUAAGAAAACUGAACUGUGUAAAUAAACCUCGGUGUUAUUUUUAUUUUAUUUGCACGAUUUUUCUCAAUACCAAACCCUAGUGACUACUACAAUCAAGUACUUUCAUUAUAGUUCUGUAUUUCAGCAAAUAAACAGCAUGAAGUAACAACAAGCUUCAAUUUAAAAUCAAUUUAAAAAUACUUUAAAGAAAAUUUGUUUAUAUACCGAUAGUAUUUGAACCUUUCUUAUGAAAUUAAUUUUUUUCUAAUAUUAUAUCAAAUAUUAAAAAAAUAUUCAACUCAAAUUGAAUAUGAGUAUGUAAUUAUUUCUCAAAUUAAAUUUUGACCCUAUUCAUAAACAUUAAUUAGUUUUUUUCUUAAUAAACAUUUUCGGCUUCAACGUAGAAGUAUGGGACCUCCCAUGCAAGAUAUUUUAACAACUUGCUAAUAUAAUAAAGUAUUUUCAUAUCUCAAACUAAAGUGUCCACUCUACCUCUCUUUCUCCAGUUUUCUCCAUAGGCGGCCAGAUAAUUUUCUUCCUCUUGCUUUUUGAUUCAUUUUCAAAGAAACUUCCCAAAAUUUCAUGGUCUAAUAUCUUUAUGAAAAACCCAAUCUUUCAAUCCAUUUUUUGUUCAUUCAAAUCAAGCAAAAAGGAGCUCUAGAAUCCCUCUCCAAAAAUCCAUUAUAGGCUUAUAUAGAUCAAGUUCGGUUCAGGGGAACACAUUUUCCCUAUGACUAUACGGAGAUGAAAAUCUCACGAAGGCAUGGGUACCGAUGUAUCCCGAAAGCAAUCCACUAUCCUAUACGAAGGUGAAAACCUUACGAAGAAAUAGUUUCUCACUCCCACUUAAAAGGACAAAAUCAUUCAACUCAUGUAUAAUGCAAAAAUAACUAAAAUACUUAGAUUGAUUAAGCAAGAAAAUGAUGAAUGCAAAAGGAUCUUAUGAAUUUUUUUUAAAAUUUAUUUUUCGACCAUAAGACAGAAAUUAAUCAACUUUGUGGCUCGGCUCUCUUAUUUUAGUCCCCAGUGGCAUCGCCAAGCUGUCGAAACCAUUUUUUAUUUUGAAAAAAAACUAAAAUUAGUUGUCGACUUUAAAAAAACAAAAAUUGGGAGUCGCCACCAAUCUUUUAUUGAGGUGUGAUUGGAUCACCUAAACAAUAGCUUUGGUCUACGAGUUUUAGAAAAAUGGAUUCAGGAGUCGGUUACAUACAAGGAAGGAUUAGCACCCUCGUAACGCCCAAAAUUGGUACCUAGUUAAUUAAUUAGUGUCUUAAUGUCGAAAAUUUAAAAAUAUGAUCCUUAAUAAAAACUAAAAAACGUUACUUAUUAAGACUCUUACCAUUUCAGAGAAAGAAAAUGUCACACCCAAUGCGUUAGGGCACGACAUUCUAUUUCCUCAAAAAUGAUUUAGUCCAAAAUACUCUUAUAAUAAAAAUUUAAAAGAAUAUCCAUUUAUUUAAGAUUUAAGAAAUCGCGGCCCAAUACGUUAGGGCACAAUUUCUCAAAAUCCUAAACUUGGAAUAUUUCCUUUGUUAUCAUUUUUAAAAAAAAUAUUUGUCUCGAGAAAUCAAUACGUCACAUCCAAUACGUUAGGAUACAACAUAUUAAAUUCCCGACAACAAGCUUUUCAUUUUAUUUUUUGAUUAAUGAGCAACUCUCAAUCGUUAGAUUUAACGAAGAAAAUCGGAACCCAAUACGUUAGGGCUCAAUUUCCUUGAAAAUCCUAAAUACGAGUAUUAUCUCAAUUUUAAAAAUGUUUGAAUAAAAUGAUUUUGAUGUUUGAAUGUUAUCGAAUAUAGCCUUUUAAGCGAAUAAAAUGUGAUAAAUGAUAAUAUACAACAUGAAGUGAUAAUUCGUAAACAAAACAUACACUAAUGAAUGAUAAAUAAUAAAUAAAUUCGAAAGAAAAUACAUAAACCUAUUUAAGAGAGAAUUUAAAGGUAAUAGAUAAAAUAAUAUGAAAUCAAUAAUAUAUAGAAUAAAAAUAAUUUAUUACAAAUUAUAUAUGUAUAUAUAAAAUAGUAUCGUAUAAAAACAUUUUCAUAUAAAUCUUUAAGACAUAUAAAUAUGUAAAAUGAAUUUCGAAAAUAUAUUACAAAAUAGGGAUAUCAAAGACUCUAUACAAAUCAUGUUGAAUUUACCUAAAAUAUAAAAAAGUGUGAUAAAUCGAAAUAAUAGUAAUAUAUAUUGAAUUUCAAAAUAAUGAUACAUUAUAUUUUUUUACAAAGGGUAAUAUAUACAUAUAAUUCAAUAAACUUAUAGCCAUAAUACAUAUAAAACGUAAAAUAAAAUGGAAAAUACUAAGCUUAAUCAUUAAAAUAGUAUUAGAUUCAAAAUUAAAUAUAUUUAAAAAAAAUAGUGGUGUAAGAAAUCAAGCACAUUGAAUUAACAAGGAUUUAAAUUGAACUCCAAACAGAAUUAAAGGAAAAAAAAUGAAGGCCUAAUUAAAAGGCGCGAAUAACUCAUAGGGCUUGAAAGGGGAAAUAUCUCCAUCCUUUGAAAUGCGUCACUUUAUUAGGGCUAAAUAAAUAAAUAAAAUUCGCAAUGGUAUCACCUUCUCCCUUUUUUUAAAAUCGUAAAUAAGUAAAAAAAAAAAUAAUAAGCCACCUUUAAAAAACUGCCAAUCGUUCUCCUUUUUUUUAUUGAUUUUUUUCCUCCCUCCACAAUGAAGGGAGAGGCCUCUAUUUAUAGUUGAGCCUCUCCAAAUCCAACGGUACAGAUCAAUUACAUCAACGACUAAGAUUAAAGGGUAUCUACAAAUUAAAUCUCUAAGAUUACAAAAUCAUAUCUUCCAAGAUUGCAUAUCAUAUCUAAGAUUGCAUAUAUCAGAUCUAAGAUUGCAUAUCCUUGAAGAUAAUGUUUCCAUAAGCUUGUAGAUGGACCUUCAACCUUUUUAAGUAAUGGGUCAUUCCAAUCAGGUCAAAUGAUAUAAUUUUGUACUGGGCUUAGACUUUAUUUUAUUAUUGUAAGCCCGGGCUAAAAUUGGGUAUUACAAGGAGGGUUUGGUGUAGUUUAUAAAGGGUACUUGAAGGACUUGGAUACUUAUGUUGCUGUUAAACGGAUUUCAAAGGCCUCUAAGCAAGGAAUUAAGGAAUAUGCAUCUGAAGUGAAGAUUAUUAGCCGAUCAAGGCACAAGAAUCUUGUGAAGCUUAUUGGCCAGUGUCAUGAAAAAGGAGAACUUAUACUUGUUUAUGAGUUCAUGGCUAAUGGCAGCCUAGAUUCCCAUCUUUUUAAAGGUAAAACCUUAUUGACUUGGGAAGUGAGAUUUAAAAUUGUGCAGGACCUGGCAUCAGCACUAUUCUAUCUACAUGAAAAGGGUGACCAUUGCGUACUACACAGAGAUAUCAAAGCGAGCAACAUUAUGUUAGAUUCUAGUUUCAAUGCUAAACUUGGGGAUUUCGGACUUGCUAGGCUAGUGGAUCAUGCAAAAGCGUCACAAACCACCCAUUUAGCUGGGACUAUGGGCUAUUUGGCACCUGAAUGCGUUUCAUCGGGAAAGGCUAGCAAGGAAUCGGAUGUCUACAGUUUUGGAGUUGUGGCAUUGGAGAUUGCAUGUGGCAGAAGAUCAAUAGAGCCCAAAUAUGAAGAAUCUCAAGCUUCGUUGGUAACCUGGGUGUGGAAUGCUUAUGGAAGCCAACGGUUGCCUGAUGUAGCUGACCCAAAACUAUGUAUGAACUUUGAUGCUAAACAAAUGGAAUGCUUGUUAAUGGUUGGACUGUGGUGCGUCCAUCCAGACCAGCAUUUAAGACCAUCUAUAAGGCAAACACUUCAGGUUUUUAAUUUCGAAGCACCGUUGCCGAAGCUUCCAGGUACGAGGCCAACUCCAACAUAUGAUGCACAAACCACUUCAGAAAUUCAAGCGAGCCAUGUUUUUCGGGUAUGAGUAUUACAGUCCCGCGUUAGACUAAUAUAAUUAUCACAUACAUAAUAUUCAAAUUGAUAAAAGAUGUCUAUUUACAAUAAUAUAUAUAUAUAUAUCAAUACAUAUUUUAAAUUUUAAAUUUACACAACAAUGGACAAUGAUCAAAAAUAUGGCCGAAUAUUUGCUUGCCCGAAAAAACGAAAAUACCCAAAAGGCAGACCCAAUCUGCCAUAGUUUUGUCAUUAAAAAUAAAUAGAAUUUAACAUGGGGCAUAUUUGAGUGUUGGGCUAUUAAUUGGGUCAUGUUUGGGGCUUAGUUUUUUUAUUCAAAACUCUCCUAAAUUGUGGACUAUUGUUCCAACAAUUAAUUCAACCUUUAAAUACGCUAAUGGUUGAAUUAAACAAAUUUAAAUUAUCGAUUACAAAAGAACAUAAAAACUUAUAGAACUAAUUUAAUUUUUUCUUAUUGUAUGUAAUUCCACCUUUUCAAAUCCAUAUUUAUCAUAAAAUCUCUUAUUAAAUUGAUGUCAUUUUAUAAAAUAAGUUGUAUUAUAUUGAGAGUGUUUUUUUUUUAUAUUUUUUAUAUAGAAAAAUAAACAGAUAUAACCAAAGUACUUAAACUCGCAUCUCUUUAAUUUAAAAAAAACCAUAUCUCUGUUUUUUUUUUAGAUUUUUAUUUUACCAUUCGAUCAAAAUUACGUUUAUAUAGUUUUUUUUUAUGAAUAUAUUUGGUUUAAGUUUUCACCCAACCUAUCAACCAAAAUUCACUAUUUUUAUAUGAAAAUUUUAAAACAAAUUAUAUAUUUAGAAUUAAAUUUAAAUAAUUAAUAAAUAAAAAUUAAAGCCAGAUCGUGCCUACACAAAAUUAAAAUUUCCUUAUUCAAGAUCGGGCCUACCAAGCUGCUUAAUCCUUCAAGUAUAAAUAAGGUCCUAUAAUUAUUGAAAUAUUAAAAAAUAAAUUUAUUUUUAAUGAUAUUUAUAUUUUAAAGCCAACUUUGAAUGAAAUUAAUUUAUUGAUAAUUCAAGUGGAGCUUAGCUCUCCUAAAUGGAAAAAUCUAGCUUCCAGACACAACCGAAAGACAAGUCAACUAUUUCUCCACUACCAAAUACUAUAGUAUAAAAAUAUUUCAAUUUGUUUUUGAAGGUAACAAUAAUUCAAUUACUAUUCAUAUAUGUAUGUAUGUAUGUAUGUAUGUAUAAUAGCUAGUUGGAAUGUAAAACUUUUGCAAGUCAAUAGACAUUCUCAUGCUAUCACCCUAAUAUUAAUUACGUCAUUUAUCAUAUCAUUGCCCUCUUGUGUUGACUAUUAGUUCAAACGAUUGAGGACUAAAUUUAAUUUUAUUUUGGAUUCAUUUUCUACGGUGCUUUGGGCGUAUGAUUGAGAUUCUAAAUCUUAGAGCUUUAGCUAAUGUUUAAUGAAAUUGAUUGCUUUUUUUUGGGGGGGGGGGCGGUUUGGGUGUUGAUUUAGCUAUUCGUUUAUCGUUUUGAUUUUAUGAGUGACAUUUAUGGUAUCAACUAUAGAUUGUCAUUGAGGUGGUUAAAACUGUCUUAUUUGCUUUAAUUAUUUAAUGAAGAAAAUCGUGGUUAUGUAUUGUUUUGAAGAAAUUUUGGUCCUCUUGUUAGCAUAUUCUAAAAUUGUUCCUGAUCAGAUUUGAGGUUCUGGAUAAUUCAUCAUUUUUGCUGAGCUGUAGAAUUGGUUAAUUGUAGAAUUGAUUAUUUCAGCUAACUAACUUUAUCCUCUUUAUUACCAAUUUAUGUAUAAAUCUGCUACCCCUAUACUAUUGAAAAAGGCAGACUGGUUAAAUGACAUUUCAGCUUACUUUUCUUGUUUGUUGUAUUUUUCUAAUCAUAAUACUUGUUUUCUAAUUCCUCUAUGGAAACAAAUCUUUGGGUUUUAGAGAUUAGAUUGGAUUCAAGUGAACCAAAUCAAUCCUUGGAAUGUGGGGGAUUGAUCAAGAUUAUGUAGCUAUUUAGAAGUCAUAUUUUCGAUUGAUUGUAUUUAGAUUAUUAUGAUUGUAUUAGCUAUUUUUAAGAAGUUACUUUGUAUUCACUUAAAUUUAAUGUUAGCAAGCCGAAUUAAAUAUAUGAUGAGAGGCUUGUAUAGAUUUUGUAUAAAAGUUUAUUGAGUGCAUUCAAAUCUAUCCAUUAAAUAAUAGACGUUUUAUGAGAGAGCAAAUUAAUAUUGUAAACAUUAUUGAGGGUGUAUGAUGCCCAAGUUCUCAAGGGGGAUUAUUAUAGUUUUAGGUACAAAUAUGAUUUCUCUAUACUUGGAGAGUGGAGUGUGAAUCAUUUGUUGUAUUCGUGUUCAAAGAUAGCGAAAUUACUCACUAAACUAGGCUCCGCAAAUAUCGAGAAAUCGAAUUGUGUAAAUAAACCUCUAUGUUAUUUUUAUUUUAUUUGCACGAUUUUUCUUAAUGCCAAGUCCUAGUGACUACUACAAUCAAAUACUUUCAUUAUAGUUUUGUAUUUCAGCAAAUAAACAACAAGAAGUAACAACAAGCUCCAAUUUAAAAUCAAUUUAAAAAUACUUUAAAGAAAAUUUGUUUAUAUACCAAUAGUAUUUGAACCUUUCUUAUGAAAUUAAUUUUUUCUAAUAAUGUAUCAAAUAUUAAAAAAAUAUUCAACUCAAAUUGAAUAUGAGUAUGUAAUUAUUUCUCAAAUUAAAUUUUGGCCCUAUUCAUAAACAUUUAGUUUUUUUCUUAAUAAACAUUUUCGGCUUCAACGUAGAAGUAUGGGACCUCCCAUGCAAGAUAUAUAUUUUAGCAACUUGCUAAUAUAAUAAAGUAUUUUCAUUUGCAAAGUCAUACAAAACAUCCAGUCACACUACAAUAAUUGAACAUUUCAUAUAUCUCAAACUCUACCUCUCUUUUUCCAUUUUUCUCCAUAGGCGGCCAGAUAAUUUUCUUCCUCUUGCUUUUUGAUUCAUUUUCAAAGAAACUUCCCUAACUUUCAUAGUCUAAUAUCUUUAUGAAAAACCCAAUCUUUCAAUCCAUUUUGUGUUCAUUCAAAUCAAGCAAAAAGGAGCUCUAGAAUCCCUCUCCAAAAAUCCUCCAACAUGUUCAUUCAUCGACUCCUUUUUGCUUCAAUAUUCAUAGUGUGUUGCCUCACAACGCUUACAAAUGGAGCUUCACUUCCAAAUGGUGAAGGUAAUUCAUAAUAUUACUCUACAAAGAAGCUUGAUUUGCUUAAUUAUUUUUUUUAAUAAAUUUCAGUACCCUUUUUCUUUUGUUAUAGUGGAAGCUUUGAGAAGUAUUGGUAACACAUUGGGGAAGACAGACUGGAACUUUAAUAUUAAUCCAUGCGAUCAAGGCGAUACUUGGUUGAACCAAUCCACACGUUAUUAUGCUAAUAAUGUUACUUGUGAUUGCUCCUUCAANNNNNNNNNNNNNNNNNNNNNNNNNNNNNNNNNNNNNNNNNNNNNNNNNNNNNNNNNNNNNNNNNNNNNNNNNNNNNNNNNNNNNNNNNNNNNNNNNNNNAAGUAUAUACAUAUUAUAAUGAAAAUUUAUCCAUCAUUGAGUUGUGACCAAACUUGAUACAUCUAUUCAUGGAUUAUAUAUAGUUUUAGAUCUCAUCUAAAGUUUACUAAAAGUGAGAGAGAGGCAUGAUACAAAUAUGAGAUAGAGAUAUAUAAUAAUUUUGUCUUUGAAAUUGUCCAUUUGUACCUAGUUGGUCCUUAAAACUUUUUUGAACUUAGUUGAUCCCUGAACAUGUAUUUCAUCAAUCAGGUUAGUCCCUCUACACUAGUACCAUUAGUUUGUGCUACUGUGACAUUUUAGCCAAGGACGAAGCUAGAAAUUAUUUUAGGGAAGGCCAAAAUUAAAUGUUAAUUUUUAUGAUAGUAGAAAUGUAAUUUCACCAUUUGAAUAGUCUAUAUCUUUAUAAUUUUUAAAGAAUUAAAUUAAUUUUUUAUAAUUUUGUGGGGUUAAAGUGUAAUUUUACCUUUAUUAAUUUAAAAUUUAAAUAAUCUAAAGGGCUUAAAUGAAAAAUUUUCUAUUUUAGGGAGGUCAGGGCACGACCAACCUCCCUAACUAUGCCCCUAUUUCUAGCCAAUCUGGUAGGAGCACAUAGUAACCUCUCAAACAUAAUUUAUAUUUCUUAGCUUAUGUUUAUCAUGUGACAAAAAUUAUAAUAAUUAAACUACAAAUAUUAAAAUUAAAAAAUAAAAAAAAUAAAUUUUUAACUUUUAACAUAAAAAAAAUUGAAUCUCAAAUUUUAUAGAAAUACAAGUACUAACUUCAUAUAAUUUGUUAAUAUGUUUUAGGGUUAAAGAGGUUACGAGAGUACAAUCUGUAUAAUUUUGGUUAGCAGCCUCAAUUAAAUCUUUUGUCUUUGUUCAAGAUUUCCUUUUUUGAAUGGGUUAUGACGACUUUUGAAUUUUCUAAACACGUACAAAUGUUAAAUAAUAUUUAUGAGAGCUACUUGCUUGCACGGUUUUAUGUAAUUCUUUUAAUGAAAGCGAAUAGGAUGUCUUAAUGAUUUUAAAGAUAUUAUUAUUUAAUUAUUCAUGCAAUAAAUGUCAAAUCAAAGUGCAUGAAAUGAGCUGACAGGCGUGGCAAGCUAGUACAAUUAAUUUAGGACCCACUGCUGGCUAUUCAAUGGAGUCGCCAUCGCAUGUCGGUCCAACCUUUUCUAUAUAAUUAAUAAAUUAAUAACAACCAAUUCUAUAUAAUUACAAUUAAAAGAAAUCCAAUUCCACUCAUCAAUUCUUUAAUGAUUUUAAAUGUAAAUAAAUUAUUAAAACUAUUUUAUAUAUUUUCAAUGCAAUAAAUGUCAAAUCAAAGUCCAUGAAAUGAGCCGACAGGAGUGGCAAGUGGAUGACAAUUAAUUUAAGAGCCACUGCUGCCUAUUCAAUGGAAUCGCCAUCGCAUGUCGGUCCAACCUUUCGUUGGCCGCCAAUGUCUCUUUCUUCUGAAAAAUGCCUUAACAAGAUACUAUCCAAUUUUAGCCUUUUACUUUAUUGUUAAUACAUAUUCACGCAUAUACAUAUAUUAGCUUUUUCAGUCUACGACUAAUUUCAUCAUACUUAUUUAAAAUGGAUUAAUUCAAUCGAAUUAAAUUAUUGAUUUAGAUAUUUGUAUUAAAUUAAUUGACUCAAGAUUCAGUGACUAUAGUUUGAAUUGAUUUUUUUUACUUUUUUAUUUAUUUAAUUAGAUCGUAUGAAUUGGCCGAAUUAAAAAAUUAAUAACUUGACUAAGUCGAGUAAUGACUUAAUUCUAAAAAUCUUAAAUGUCACAGAAGUAGCACUUGAUUUUAUGUAUUUAACAUUUUAUUUAAAUAAUAUAUUUAUACUUAUUGUAAUUGGUUUUUUAAUACAUUAAUUAAAAUGUUGAACAUAAUUAAUAGAUAUUAAUUUAUUUAAUAAUUUAAAUAUGAUAAAAAAUUUUGAAUUAUAAUUAGAACAUUUAUAUUAUAUUAAAAAUGAUAUAUUUUAAAUUGAUAAUUUUUAAUAAUAAUAAAAUUAAAAAUCAUAAUUAAAAUAUUUGUACUAUAUUUAUAUUCGAUAUACAAUAUAAUUUUAUUUCAUUAAUUAAUUCAAAAUAAUAUUAUUCAAAUAAUAACCAACAUAUAUAUAUACUUGCUUUUUUAUUAUAUGACUAAUAUAAAUGUUCUUUUAAUAGCUUAAUUUGAAAUUUACAUAUAAUAAUUAUUUAGAUUUUUCCUUUUUGCUUGAGAUCCAGAAGCAGGCAGGAUCUUCGCUCCAUUACUUAAAUAAAAAUAUGAUUUUUUUAAUCUCUUAGAAUUAAAAAAUUUUAAUUUAAAUAUUUUUAAUCCUUAUAAACUAAAUAAAAAAAUGCUUAAGAUUUUUUUUAACUUUCAAAAGAAUCUCAAAUUUUUUUAUCUAAAAAUAUUUUAAUUUUUCAAAAUAUUUACUAAAACAAAUCUGAUAAUUAAUUCUCUGUAUUAUGUAGAUUCACGAUUUUAAACAAGAUUAAAAAGAUGAUUAAUGUUAAAAAAUUAUGACUUUUGAGUACCGAGUUUUUACCAAGCAGAUAUUGAUUCUGAAUGUGAAUUUUUUUUAUUGUAGAUUUUAGCAACAGACCCCUAACUUAGUUUCUGUAUCAGAUUGCUUAAGGCUCAAAAUCUCUCGGGGACUCUCCCACUAAACUUGACAAGUCUCCCUUACUUGCAAGAAAUGUAAGCACAUUUCAAGUGUUCCUCCAUUCUGAUAUAUAUAAAUGAAGAUUCUUUGUUUUUCAGCAACUAUAUAUCUACUAAUUUGUUGUUUUAAAACUACUAUUACAGUGACCUAACUCGCAACUAUCUUAAUGGCACCAUUCCUUCAGAAUGGGGUUCUGCUACCCGACUCGUCAGCAUGUAUGUUUUCUCCUACUUUCUCUUUCAUGGUUGUAUGUAUAUAUCUUUCAUGGUUUUGAAAUAAUUUCUCGUAACUACAAUAUGUACGCAUGUAUAUGUAAAUGUUGCUAAAUGCAAAAGAUUUGUUGUAUUCCAGUUCACUUCUUGGAAAUCGAUUAACAGGUUCAAUCCCAAGAGGACUAGCAAAUCUCAGAAAUCUUACCAGCUUGUGAGUUAUAUUAUGGCAAUUUCUUUUAUAGUUUUACAUAAUUUUUUUUCCAUUUUUUAAUGAAGGUCUAAUGGAUAAUUAAAUUUAUUUAUUGAAACAUCAUUGUGUAGAGUCCUUGAGAACAAUCGUCUUUCAGGAACUUUGCCUGCAGCACUAGGGAAUCUACCCAAAAUUGAGCGACUGUAAGAGGGACUUUUUUGUUUCUUCUUAAUUCCAGCUGAAUUUCAUUUCAUUACAUGCAGUAGUUUUAUUAUAUAAAUUAUUUAAUAUCUAUUUACUGGUUUCUUCAGGCAUCUUAGUUCCAACAAUUUUACUGGUGAAAUACCUGAAAUGUUUGCUAACCUAACUUCAUUGAAGGAAUUGUAAGCAAUUCUAAUUUCCAUAUACGAAUGAAUAUUUUAUAUAUCUCAUGUCUGAAUAUAUCUUCAAAUAAAGUUCUUAUUAUACAUAUCAUUUGGAAUUUUUAAUAUAUUUUAUAUGCCAUAGUUAUGAUAAUUUUGUUCUCUCAACAGUCGGAUUAGUGACAACAACUUUACAGGACAGAUUCCUGACUUCAUAUUCCGAAAUUGGACAAAUCUUGAACAGAUGUGAGAAUUAUAAUUAUAAGAUUUUGAUGCAUUUUGUAAGUCUAUAUUUUUCAUUAGAAAUAUUUUUAUUUUAUUAAUCAAUUAAAUGAAUUCUUCUUUCCUAAUGACAGAUAUAUAGAGGCAAGUGGUUUGAUUGGGCCAAUUCCAUCCAUUAAUGCUACUUUAGAAAACUUAGAAUACAUGUAAGCUCCAAUGAUCUUAAAAGGUGGUGACAAUAUUCAUUACAUAAAAAUAAACACAACUUAAUUUCUUAUUUAUGUUUGUAUAUGGUUCUUGAUAUUGUUUUACAGAAUAAUUAGUGACUUGAAUGGAGCUAACACAACUUUUUCACAAUUGGUCAUCGAUGCCACUUUGCCUAAAUUGGAUAGAUUGUAAGCAUGAACUCUGGAAUAAAGCAAAGAUUUUUGGAAGUUAUGAGAUAUUGUGGAGUUCUAAAAGAAUAAUGGAAUUAUUUUGUGAUUGAAUUAUAGCAUGUUGAGGAGUUGCAAUCUCAUUGGAGAGAUACCUGCUUCUUUUGGGACAUUUACAUCCAUAAAGAUAUUGUAAGUAAUUACACUUUCUUUUGAGAGGUUCAAGUUCAGUUUGAUUGUAGACUUACGUGUGGUUUAAUACCCGUUUUACAAAUUUUCUUGCAGAGAUCUCAGCUUUAAUAGACUUAGUGGAAAAAUUCCAGAUGAGCUUUCUAAUCUUGAUUUCGAUAAUAUGUAAGGAUAUGGCUUUUAGUUGUAGUGUGUAAAUUGCAUUUUCUUUAUUUAUAUACUCAUUUGGAUUUUAUUAGGUUCUUAAAUGGAAACAAUUUUAAUGGAUCAGUCCCUCAAUGGAUACUCGAUACAAGAGAAAAAGUGUAAGAUUCUCUUUCUUAUUUAAAUGCUCAAUCUCAUUGAUUAUAGUUUGAUUAACCAAAAUCAAAAUUAUUGCACAAAGAUAUUUAAUUACUAUUUAUUGAUUCUCCUACAUUAAUUAGUAGUUAAAGAUUUGAUCUUCUCGCUGUAUAUGAAGUAGUUUUAUAACUCGCGUCCGGCAUCUAUCUUCUUAGUGAACAUACAAAUAAAAGGGAUUAAUCAGUGACUUGCUAGAUAUUGAAAAUAAUACUCUAAAUGCAGGGAUCUUUCUUAUAACAACUUCACAAACACAGGUGUAUCAGAUUGCCGACAAAAUAGCGUGUACGACAACUUCCUCAUCCAACUUCAUUACUGCAUCUUUCUUAUAAAAUAUCAAUCAUUUUUUUGUUAUAAUUUUUCCUCCAUUAUCGACCUGUAGGAACUUGUUCUCAAGCAUUGCAAGAGUCAAUAACACGUAAGUAUUAAGACAACAACAAUCAUUAAACUAAGUCUUUGUCUUUCAUCUAACUUUAUAAUUGUUUUAUCAGGGGAAUUGUUCCAUGUUUGACUAGCCAAAUUACCUGCCCAUCAGAACGUAAGUAUUUAUAUAUAUUUGAUGCACUAAUAAUAUAACUCAAUUAUUUUAUUCAAACUGUUGUUGAUUGUUAUUUCCUCAGUUUUGCAAUUUGUCCAUAUAAACUGUGGAGGGAGAGAAAUAACUGUUAAUGACACCAUUUAUGAAGCCGAUUACGAUGGAGCCGGGCCUUCGACAUUUUACCGAAGUACCAACUGGGCAUUUAGCAGCACCGGAAUUUUUCUAAGCGAUGACCGCCCCGACGACAUCUUAGUUUUGGACAAUAGACAAGUGUCUGUCGAUGGCGAUGAAAAACAACUCUACGAAAGUGCAAGGCUUGCGCCUAGCUCUUUGACAUACUAUGCAUUUUGUCUCGCCAAUGCAACUUACUCAGUAAACCUCCAUUUCGCUGAGAUUCAGUUCACUAAUGAUCGAAAUUAUAGCAGCUUGGGGAGACGCAUAUUUGAUGUUUACAUUCAGGUAUAUUUUUAGUAUCAUUCUUGUUAGUAUGUUAUCCUGAUUCUGUUAGAGUGUUGAAUUUUAUAUAUAUACAUACACAAAUAUUGAUUUACAACAUGUGCUUACAUGGAAAGUAGUGUUAAAUGGAAGGGAUAAUAAUUGCAGGGAAAGCAGGAGCUGAAGGAUUUCAAUAUUGAAGAAGAAGCUGGAGGGGCAGGCAUACCAAAAGUAAAAAACUUCACUGUAAAUGUAACGGAUAGCACUUUGGAGAUCCGUUUCCAAUGGGCCGGGAAAGGGACAACUUCUAUACCGGAGAGAAGCAUUUACGGUCCUCUUAUCUCAGCAAUAUCUAUUUUAGAUCCUAGUAAGUUUUCAAUUCAACUGACUCUUUUUUUGUUAUAGCACGCCUAUAUAUAAUGCUUCCAACAAAUAUUUUCAUGUCAUCUUUGCUACUAAUUGCUAUAAGAAAAUGUUUCCAAACAGCUUAUAAACCUCCAUCAGAAAGCGACGGUGGUAUUGCGACAGCUGCAGUGGUCGGUAUUGUGGGCGGAGCAGUGUUUGCUGCUUUGUUGAUUUUAGGCAUUCUUUGGUGGAAGGGCUGUUUAAAACAGAAGAGUACUUUGGAACAAGGUAUUUAGGCAGAAUAUCAUUGUACUCUGUUGCAUACGUCAGUCGCGCAACGCCUUUAUUUUGCGAUUUUCCGUUCUUUUUUUAUAUUGAUAUUCAUCGCAAUUGAUCAUAAUCUCAUAUGUUAUGCGACUAAAAACACGUUUGUGAUCGCAGUUUAAACCCUGCCAUCCCUUCUAAUUGGAUUAACAUGUUCCACAGAUCUAAAAGGUAUAGAGUUGCAGACAACUUCCUUUACCUUAAGGCAAAUUAAAGCUGCUACAAACGAUUUUCAUGCUUCUAAUAAGAUCGGAGAAGGUGGUUUUGGUCCCGUUUACAAGGUAAUCAUAUGCAACACUUCCAGUAGGUAAAUUGUUCAUUAUAGAACCUGGUAAUCAUUGUUUUCUUUUUCAUUUCAAACGCAGGGUACUCUAGCAGAUGGCACAGUGAUUGCUGUGAAGCAGCUAUCAGCUCGAUCGAAACAAGGAAACCGUGAGUUUGUGACUGAGAUUGGCAUGAUUUCAGCUCUACAACACCCUCAUCUGGUAAAGUUGUACGGCUGUUGCAUUGAAGGAAAUCAAUUGAUGCUUAUAUACGAGUACUUGGAAAACAACAGCCUUGCUCGGGCAUUAUUUGGUACAAACCCCAUACAAAUGUCUAUUUGUUCUAACACGAAUGUGAAGUAUGUGAAUAUGUGUUUGUGUAUGUGUGUAUCUGAGUUACUCCUUUUAUUUUGGUAAUGAAAAGGGACACAAGAGUCUCAGUUGACAUUAGACUGGCCAACAAGAAUGAAGAUCUGCAUUGGUAUAGCUAGAGGGUUAGCUUACCUCCAUGAGGAAUCAAGGUUGAAGAUUGUGCAUAGAGACAUAAAGGCCACUAAUGUGUUGCUUGAUAAGAAUCUAAACCCUAAAAUAUCUGACUUCGGUUUGGCCAAGCUUGAUGAAGAAGAAAAUACCCACAUUAGUACCCGAAUUGCAGGAACUUAGUAAGUCUCUUUUCAGAUUCAUUCUCAAAUCUUCAUUGAUGUCAAACCUAUAAGAAGCUGUAUUUAAUUGAUGAUGUUAAAUUUGCAGUGGCUAUAUGGCUCCUGAGUAUGCAUUGCAUGGCCAUUUGACAGAGAAAGCGGAUGUUUAUAGUUUUGGGAUAGUGGCUCUCGAAAUUGUUAGCGGGAGGUGCAACACUAAAAGCCGCCCAAAGCAAGAACCUUUCAUUCUCCUUGAAUGGGUAAAUUAAGUUCUCAUUCUUUCUUCCAUUAUGAAUUUGAAUGUGGCAAUUAAAUUUUGUGUGUUUUAUAGGCUCAUGUUUUGAAGGAGAAUGGGAACUUGUUGGAAUUAGUUGAUACAAGGAUUGGCUCAGAUUGCAACACAGAUGAAGUCAUGGCAAUGAUCAACAUUGCACUAUUGUGCACAAAUCCCACUUCUUCAGCUAGGCCUUUAAUGUCUUCGGUAGUGAGCAUGCUUGAAGGCAAGGCUGAAGUUCACGAAUACCUCACAGAUUCAAGCAUUUCUUCAAAUCGUCAAAUGAGUGCAGAGAUUAUGAAAAAGUUGUAUCGGAAACUUGAAGAAGAUGAUACAAAUGUUAGCCAAACAAGGAGUAUGUUAGCUGAUGGGCCAUGGACCAAUUCUUCUACAUCUGCUGCUGAUCUUUAUCCAGUUAGUUUGACUUCUGGAUAUUUGCAGAAUAGAGAUUCCACAAAUUAGAAAAAAAUUUGUAUAAUUCUCUUGUCUGGUUUCUCCCCAGAAAAUUCGUAUUCCUUUGAAACCAAGGCUUAAUUAGCUCAUUUGAUUCAGUCAAAAACCGAAAGUCACAUUCAAUAAUUUUGACAUUUGAAAUACUAAAAUUAUAAGUAAAGUGUAUUUUAAUUUUAUGCAAUUUUAUACAUAAAAUUUUGAUUUGAUAUAAUUCUUGUAAAUUAUUUACAUAAUUAUUGAUUUAACAUCAUUUUAUAUUUAUAUAUUGCAUACAUGAAUAAUUAAAUUUAUCCAAUUUAAAAAUAAAUUGAUAUAUUUAUUUUUUAAGAUGUGCAUGAUUAAAUCAAAAUUAAAAUUUUAAAUAUACAUCUGAACCACAAUUAGGGUUACACGUAUAUAAUUACAAAUUAAAUUAAAAUUCAUGUAUACAAUUACACAUUAAAUCACAAUUUAUAUAUAAUUUUGAUAUCUAUCUUUUUUAACUUCUCUUAUUAUCAAACUUCAACCGAGGCUUUUGGUUCUUGAACAGGAAAUGUUGAAGAUGUUGAAAUGCCUGGUGGGUUCAAUUACCUUAAUAUAUAACAUCCUAGAAAGGAUGCUUCAGGUGACUGGGAAAUCCAAAAUCUUUCUUCUCUUUUGAGUCAUGUUGUAACCAAAAAUUUAAUCAUAUUCAUUAUUUGUACUAAUUAAUAACCUUAUAAAAAUAUAAAAAUUAAACCAUAUUUAAAUUUAAAUUUAAAUAAUCUUGUAAAAUGAAAAAGAAAAAAGAGCAUGCAGUUGGUGUCCACGUAACAUGAUAACUUUAUCGAGUAAAAAUAAAAUAUAAAAAUAUUAAAUACAAAAAAUGACAUUUAAAUUUUUUUGACAGUAUUCUGUAUUUUAAAUAAAUAAAAAAGUCUUUAAUUCAAAUUAGGUUGGUGUACGCAAAAUUUUUUAUUGAAAUUUCAUUGGAAUUGAUAUAUGAAUACAUUUAAUUUUUAAUUAAAAAUAUUUUUGUUCAAAUAUAUAUAGAUAGAAGUAGGGGUGAGCAUUCGAUCGAAUCGAAUCGAAUCGAAUCGAAUCGAAAAUUUUCGAGUUAAUCAAGUUUUCGAAUCUCAUUUUAUCAUCCUAAUUUUAUUUGAAGUUUUCUCGAAUCGAGUCGAGUGAGAUGAAAUUCGAAUCGAAUCGAAUAUAUUUGCUCGAGUUAAAUUUAAAAAAAAAAAUUUUGGGUCUUUGUAACCACUGUCACCCAUGGUAAUAAAAUUUGUCCACCUUAAUCAAAUUUUUUAUUAACUUUUAUCAGCUCAUAAUUUAUUUAUUAAUUUUUUAUAUACUGGUUAGCUUUUUUGCUUGCUUAGUUGUUUCAAUUAUCUUCAAAUUCUUGUCUUUGGAAUUAAAAAAUAUAUUAAAUGUAAAAAUAUGAUUUUUUAAUAAAUUUUAUUUUAAAAAUAAAAUGUAAAAUUGAUACCAAUAUAAAAUUUUAACACAAAUAUUUUAUGGCAUAAUUAAUAAUUCAACUUUAAUAUAAAUAUUCAAUAUGACUAAACAAUUCAAUAAUAUAAAUAAUAUAAAAUGUGAAAUUUAAUUUAAUAAUAUGAAUAGUAGAUAUAAAUAAAAUUAUUACUAUUUAUGUUUAGUGAUUUUUUAUUGGAUAAUUUUGAUUUUUUAUUUGAGAGUAAAGGGUGAGAAGUAAAAAUUUAGGGGAAAAAUAAAAAAUUUUGGGGAAUAAAAGUUUGAAGGAAAGUAAAUAGGGGGGAGUAAAAUUUUGGAGAGAAAAUAUUAAAAAAAAUUUUGGAGGGGGGAGGGUUUGGGGUAGAUGAGAGGUGGGAUGAGAAUGGAAUAAAAGUUUUAGGGAAAAAGUGGGAGGGAGUAAAAAUUUUGGGGGAAAAUAAAAAGUUUUGAGGGUUUUUGGGAGUAAAAUUUUGAGAAAAAGUAAAUGGGAGAGUAAAAUUUUGGUGGAAAAUGAAUUUUGGGUAGAUUGGGGGGGGGUUGGGAGGGGAGUAAAAGUUUUGGGGGUAAGUGGGAAGGAGUAAAAGUUUUGAGGGAAAAGUAAAAAAGUUUGGGAGUUUGGGGUAAAAAUGUAAAAUAUUAUAGUUUGAUAUUCGAAUUAUUCGAAUUAUUUGAGUUAUUCGAAUUCAAAAACUCAACUCGGUUUGAACUCAAAAUUUGAAAAAAAAAAUUUCGAGUUGAUUCGAAUAACUCGAUUAACUCGAAUAACUCGAUUUGUUUAACUCGAAAUUCGAUUUUUUUAAAAUUUUUUUGAGUCGAAUCGAAUUUUGCUCACCCCUAAAUAGAAGUAAAAAACAUAAAAUAGGGAGCUAGAUUUUGAUUGAUAAAAAAGAAAAAGCAUUCCAUCAUUAUAGGAGUAUUUAAGAAAUAUAAUUUGGCUACUAUUGGUGAUAAAAAUUUGAUUUGUUUCCAAAAAUUUGAAUUUCUUUUUGAAUUUUUAGUUAAUUAUCUUGAAUAAUAAAUUAAAUUAAUGUGAAUAUAUUAUUUCCUAAAUUUUUGAUAGUUUUGAGAAUAUACAAAUUGACCCCUUUAAAAAAUUACAAAAAAUUCAAAAUUAUCUUUGGAAAUUCAAAAUAUAUAUGAAAUAUAUUUUCCAAAAUUUUAUUAAUAUAUAUUAAAAAAAAAUUAUUAAUAUAUAAAUAUAUAAAAAUACUAAAUUAUAAUUUUUUUAGAAAACUCAAAUUGAUAAAAUUAAUCUUUUUAAACAAGUAAAUUAUCAAACCAUGUUUGUUGUAUUAAUUAUUUUAUUUUAUUUAUCUUUUUUUUCUUUAAAAUUUUUUUUGUAUUUAUGCUUUUUAACUUAAAAUUUAAUAAAAUUACCGACAAGUUUUUAAUAUAACUAGUUUAAUGUUUUUUAAUUUAAUUUAAAUAAAUUUAUUUAACUCAAUUCAAAUUUUAUUUCAUUGAUUUAAUUAAAUUUAAAAAAAUUAAAGUAAAUAAAAAUGACAAAUUACUUGAUUUAAUUUGAUUUAGACCUUAGUCGUGGAAGAUACCAAAUUGUUAAAUUACUGACCCAUGUCCUUGUAUACAUUAUUAUAACAUUUGGCUAGUCAUCGUCCUCCUGCUAUAAAGUUGUGAGGUCAGUUGUCUCAACUAGCUUCCUGUCAAAGGUCCCUAUCCCUGUCCUUUUACUUGAGUCGGUGGCACUAGAAUUAAUUGGGUUAAUAAGUCUUGAAUCAGUCAAUAUUUAUAAAAUUUUUAUAAUUUGAUAAAUAAAAUAUUUUAUUUAAAAAUUAAAAACACAAUACCUUUAUUUCAAUUUAUACCUUAUUUGAUUUGUUUUAGGAAUUAAAUUUAUCUACUUAAUUUAAUCCUGUCCCUUAUGGGACCUCAUUUCAUUAAAUACCGAUGCGACACAGAACCUUUUUCAUUCUCUAUCAUCUCUAAGAAAUUUCCAACUUUCGCACUUUAACCCCUUUAUGAAAACCCAAUCUUUCAACCCAUUUUUUAUUCAUUCACAUCAAGCCAAAUAAAAGCUCUUGAAUUCCACUCUAAAAUAUUCCUUUAAUAUGUUCUUUUUGGGUCAAUAUUCAUAGGUUCUUGCCUUACAAUGAGCUACAGUACUGCUAAAGAUGAUACAGUAGUUUCAUUUGCAUGGGUGCCUCGCUGCCUCCCUCCACCCAGGGGAAGUCAGGAAAAACUUUUAGAGAAUGGAAACUAAAUUGUUUACAUUUUUAUAAAUUUUUGAAAGAUUAAAUCAAAAUUUAUUAUUUUAGGAGGAUAAAGUAUAAUUUUAUUUUUAUUAAUUUAAAUUUUUAAAAAAUUUAAAAGAUUAAAAUGAUAAAUUUUUUAUUUUAAGGGGGGACGGAACCUUGCUAGCACCCUAAAUCUGUCUCUGGUUUGAAGUUUAAUUUGCUUAAUUCUUUUUGUUAAUGUUAUUUGUUUUCAUAUGAUAUCAAAUUUAAUCUUUAAUAUUUACAUCUUUUGUUAAUUUAAUUUUUUAUAAUUAAAUUUGAUCUUUAAAAAAAAUCAAAUUUAACUAUCAAUAUUUUGAAAAAAAAGUUAGAAUUGAUUUUUUAAUAAAAAUAUUAACUAAAAUAUUAAAAUUUUUAAAUAUAAAAAAGCAAUCUAGGUAUAGUUCGUUAUAUUCCUAUGCAAGAUAUUUUUUUACAACUAGCUAAUAUGAAAAAAGCAUUUUCAUUUACCAAGUCAUUCGAAAACAUCCAAUCACAGUACAAUUAUUGAACCUUUGUUUUAGUGUUCACAUUACCUCUCUUUUUUCUCUUAUUUUCCAUAUGCAGCCAAAUCAUUUUCAUCUAAAAGAAAUUUCCAACUUCCUUUUAGAAAAUUAUUUUCCCAAGUUUCACAUAUAGCCUACGUCUCAAACAAAAUUCCAACUCUCAUAGUCCAAUAUAUUUAUGAAAACCCAAUCUUUCACCCCAUUUUUUGUUCAUUCAUAUCUAUCCAAAACGAAAAAAAGCUCUUGAAUUUCAAUCAGAAAAUACUCCUUUAAUAUGUUGUUUCUUCGACAUGUUUUAGGGUCAAUAUUCAUAGUUUGUUGCCUUACGACGCUUACAAAUGGAGCUACACUUGCCAAUGAUGAAGGUAACUCAUAAUACUAAGCUUCUAACCUUAAUUUGAUCAAUUCUUUUUACUAAAUUUCUCUCUUUGGUUUUUUGUUACAGUGGAAGCUUUGAAAUGGAUUGGUAAAACAUUGGGGAAGACAGGGUGGAACUUUGAUAGUGAUCCAUGCAGCCAACGCCAUAGUUGGGUAGAUCAAUCCACACGUUAUUAUGUUAAUAAUGUUACAUGUGAUUGCUCCUUUAACAAUAACACCAUCUAUCAUGUGGUUCGCAUGUAAGUAUAUACAUGUAUAUAUACAUAUAUAUCUUUCUUAAAAAGAAAAUUUAUGCACCAUUGAGUUAUGUCCAAAUUUGUUAGAUUAGUUCAUGGGUUAUAUCAUUUGAACAUAUUCUAUUAUAUAUACACGUAAUUAUCAUGUUUAAGAUAUAAUAUUAUAUAGUCAAUCUAUUCUGCUGACAAAUAUCUAAACCGGAAAUCACAAUCCAAAUACCUAUUGCCAAAAUUUAUUAAUAUGACAGUUUUUCUUUUUUUGAGUCAUCAGUGCUACACCCAACUAGUACUAGUCCAAACACUACUCUUAAAAAAUUGCCUGAACAUGUGUCAUGAGUAGUGAUGUUUUUAAGUGUCAUUGGGGUUAGUUUUUGAGGUGCUUUGAUGCUUUCCUUGGUGUGUUCGUAUCCAGAUUGGCUAUGGGUGCUGUGGUUCUUGUAUCAGAUUUAAUUUUAUUGCAAGGAGUGUUUAUUAUGCUGAAGGUUUAGUUCGGUGUUUCUUAGUAGGUAUUGUUGAGAUGGGUGUCUUCCUUUACAAUAAAGUUUCAUUGGUUAAGAUUUAGAUUAUAUUUAAAAUUUUUUAAAAUUUUAAACUUAAAAGUUAUAAUAAAAUGUUGUUAUUUAUAUAAAAUUUCAAUUAUGUAAAAUUAUAAACCCUAAACCCACCCACAUAAAUUUCAUAUUUAUUAGUAUUAAGUAUAAUUUUGGUUAGUAUAUAUUUUUAGGUUAAAGAAAUUUAUAAUUGAGAAUUUGAACUUCAUUAUUAUGAUCAAUAUCUACUCUUUUAAUAAAUUUAUGAAACUGAAUUAUUAAGUAGAUAAAAUGAGGAGAAAACAACAGCCAAAUUAAAUAAUUUAUACAUUAGAUAAAGCUUUUAAUUAGUACGUUAAGUUGAAAUUUUUUGAGUUGAGAGGUGUAGUGGGAAGUGAAUACCAAGGUAGUAUAAUUACUUUAAGACCCACUGUUGACUAUUCAAUGGAAUCGCCAUCACAUGUCGGUCCAAGCUUUUGUUGGCCGCCAAUGUCAUUUAAUUGCCCUCCCUCUCUAGCUUUUGCAAAAUGCUUUCACAAAGAAAUUAAACUUUUUCACUAUUUAGUUAAAUUUUAAUUUUAUACAUUAUCAACUCCUAAAUAGUAGUGUUUAUAGUAUAUAAAUGCCACAUGCAUAUUAAUUUAUCCUAAAUACUUGAACAAAUCAAAUUAUUUUUGCUUGAGUAAUUUAACUCUUGAAAAAUAAUAUUUAAUACUAGUAAGUAGUGAAUAUUAUACAAUUUUUAAUUAAGGUUAAAAAGUUCAUAUCGUUAGUUAAAAAUUUUCACUUUUUCAUUAUAGAUUUUAGCACCCUAACAUAAACUUUGUUUUGUAUCAGAGUGCUCAAGGCUCAAAAUCUCUCGGGUACUCUCCCACUAAACUUGAACAAUCUCCCUUUCCUGCAAGAAAUGUAAGGGCGUUUCCAAAGUUCUUUUUCAUGAUAUAUAAAACUUAUUUCUUUUCAUCAACUUUGGAUCAAUUAAUUAACUAUAUACGUAUAUCUACUAAUUUGUUGUUUUAAAACCAUUUCUUACAGUGACCUAACUCGAAACUAUCUUAAUGGCACCAUUCCACCGGAAUGGGGUUCUUCUACGGGACUUGUCAGCAUGUAUUUUUCUUUCCUCAUUGUCUAUCUAUAUAUGCCUUCCGUGAUGGUUCUGUGUCUUUCCGCAUUGUGUAUGUAUGUAAAAAUGUGUACAUAUUCACAUAUAUAUAUUUACAUAUCUUUCAUCAUGGUUGUAGGAACAAUACAUACAAUCCUUCAUCUUUUGAUUAUAGAAAAUAAUGCUGCUAAAUGCAAAAGAUGUGUUGUAUUUCAGUUCUCUUCUUGGAAAUCGAUUAACUGGUCAAAUCCCAGCAGAGUUAGCAAAUCUCAGAAAUCUUACCAGUUUGUGAGUUAGAUUAUAGCAACUUCGACUACAUAUAAUAUAUCAUUAUUUCAUGAUUAUGAUUUUUUUCAUUAUUUUACUAAAUGUCUAAUGGAUAAUUAAUUUUAUUUAUUGAAAAAAAAUUGUGUAGAGUCCUUGAGAAUAAUGGUCUUUCAGGAACAUUGCCUGCAGCACUGGGGAAUCUACCCAAUAUUGAGAGAUUGUAAGAGAGACUCUUCCUGUUUUGAAUUUCAUUUCAUUACAUGGAGUAUUUUUAUUAUAUAAAUUAUUUAAAAUAUAUUUUCUGGUUGUUUCAGGCAUCUUAGUUCCAACAAUUUCACAGGAAAAAUACCUGAAACAUUUGCUAGGUUGACAUCAUUGAAGGAGUUGUAAGCAAUUGUAAUGUUCAUUUUUACUAACUUAUUUUAUAUGAUAUGUUUUAUAUUUAUUUUGUAUUCUCAACAGUCGGAUUAGUGACAACAACUUCACAGGACACAUUCCUGAGUUUAUAUUUCGAAAUUGGGAAAAUCUUGAACAGAUGUGAGAAUUUUAAUUAUAACAUUUUUAAUGCAUUUUGUAAGUCUAUUAUUUUUCAAUUAAAUGGAUCCAUCUUUCCUAAUGACAGAUAUAUGGAGGCAAGUGGUUUGAUUGGGCCAAUUCCAUCCAUUAAUGCUACUUUACUUAACUUGACAUACAUGUAAGCACCGAUCUUAACCAUCAAGAUACUGACAAUAUUCAACACUAUAUGAUAAAAGCUGCUAUUUAAAUCCUUAUUUAUAAUUGUAUCUGUUUGUUGGAUAUUGGUUUACAGAAUAAUUAGUGACUUGAAUGGAACUGAUACAUCUUUUUCACAAUUGCUUAUCGAUGCCAAUUUGCCUAAAUUGGAAAGACUGUAAGCAUCAACUCUGAAAUCAGGCAAAGAUUUAUUAGAGUUAUGUCAUAUUGAGGAGUUUAAAACAAUGGGAUUAUUUUGUGAUUGAAUUACAGGAUGUUGAGGAGCUGCAAUCUCAUUGGAGAGAUACCUUCUUCUUUUGGGACAUUCACAUCCAUAAAGAUAUUGUAAGUAUGAUCUAGUGUUUUGAGAGGUCAGGGUUUAAUUUGAAUUUUUUUUAUGAGAUAACACGUAGUUUUAAUAUCAUUUUUAUAUAAUUUCUUGUAGAGAUCUCAGUUUCAACAGACUCGGGGGAGAAAUUUCAGAAAAUCUUUCUACUCUUGAUAACUUGAAUUUUUUGUAAGGAUAUGGUUUUUAAUUUUAGUGUAGAUUUCCCUUUUCUUUUAAGUAUAUACUCCUUUGGAACAAAUGGAAAUAAAAAGAAAAACUUGAUGAUUUCUUUUGAUUAGGUUCUUAAAUGGAAAUAAUUUUACUGGAAAAGUCCCUUCAUGGAUUCUGAAUACAAAGGAAAAAAUGUAAGAUUCAGUUCUUAUUGUGUUGAAUUCCUUUGAUUAACCAAAAUAAAAUUAUAUCGAUAUCAAGCUUUUAAUGAACAUAAUAUUCUAAAUUAUUCUAUUUGCAGCGAUCUUUCAUACAACAACUUCACACACACAGGUGUAACAGGCUGUCAACAAAAUAAUAUCAUGUAUGACAAGUUUCUAAUCUAACAUCAUUAGUGGAUCUUUAUUGUAAAUGGCUAUAUAUAUAUAUAAUAUUUGUGGUUGAUUGUGGAUCUUCAGGAACUUAUUCUCAAGCAUUGCAAGAGUCAAUAACUCGUAAGUAUUAAGACAACAACAAUCAUUAAACUAAGUUCGGAGAUUUUAAUGGCUUUGCUUUUUAAUUGUUUAAUCAGAGGAAUUGUUCCAUGUUUGAGAAGCCAAACUACCUGCACAGCAGGAUGUAAGUAAAAAUACUUUACACUUCAUCUAUGCUAAUAUCCAUUUAUAUUUGAUACACUACUCAAUCGUCAGGUAGCCAAUGGCCAAUGAGACAUACAAAAAUAAGUUCAUCCUGUCUUAAUUUUUUGUGUCGAGUUACUGAUCCAAACUGUUUUUAUAUUCCUCAGUUUCGCACUCUGUUCAUAUAAACUGUGGAGGUGAAAUAACAAGAUUUAAUGACACCGAUUAUGAUGCCGAUAACAAUCAAGCCGGGCCUUCGACAUUUCAACAAGGUACUAGGAACUGGGCAUUUAGUACCACCGGAGUUUUCCUAGACGAUGACCAUAUGGACGACAACUUAGCUUUUGACAAUAGGCAAGUUUCUAUCAGUGGUGACGGUGCAGAACUCUACAGAAAUGCAAGGCUUGCACCUACUUCUUUGACAUACUAUCUUUUUUGUCUCGCCAAUUCAACUUAUACAGUAAACCUCCAUUUUGCUGAGAUUCAGUUCACUAAUGAUCAAACUUAUAGCAGCUUGGGAAGACGCAUAUUUGAUGUUUACAUUCGGGUAUUUUUUUUUUAGUAUCAUUCUUGAUAGUAUGUUAUCCUGAUUUGGGGGAGUGUCGAAUUUUUAAUGUAUAGUAGCAAAUAUUGCUUUACAACAUGUGCUUGCAUGGGACGGCUUAAAUGGAAUGGAUAAUAAUUGCAGGGAAAGCAGGUGCUGAAGGAUUUCAAUAUUAAAGAAGCAGCAGGAGGGGCAGGCAUACCGAUAGUAAAAUAUUUUACUGUAAAUGUAACCGAUGGCACUUUGGAGAUCGGUUUCCGAUGGGCUGGCAAAGGGACGACUUCUAUGCCUCAGGGAAUCGUUUACGGUCCUCUUAUCUCAGCAAUAUCUGUUUUAGAUCCUAGUAGGUUUUCAAUUCAACUGACUCUUCUUUUUACGUUGUUGUUAUAGCACACGUAUAUAUCAUGCUUUCAACCAUGAUUUUCAUGUCAUCUUUGCUAUUAAUUACUAUGUUAUAUUGUUGUAGAAAUAGAUGAUAAACUUUCAUCAGCAAGUACCGGUGGUUUUGCGACAGCUGCAGUGGUCGGUAUUGUCGGCGGCACAGUGUUUGCUGCUUCAGUGAUUUUAGGCGUCCUUUGGUGGAAUGGUUGUUUAAGAGAACAGAGUACAUUGGAACGAGGUAUUUAGACAUAAUAUCAUUAUACUCUGUUACAUACAAGGAAAGAGUACGACAGUCGUACCGUCUUUUUCUAUUGAUACUCAUCACAAUUGAUCCUUAAUCAUAUGUUAUGUGACUGAAAACACGUUUCUGAUCGCAAUUGAAACCCAGCCAUUGCUUAUAUUUGGCUUAACGUGUUCCACAGAUCUAAAAGGUAUAGAGUUGCAGACAACUUCCUUUACCUUAAUGCAAAUUAAAGCUGCUACAAACGAUUUUCAUGCUUCCAAUAAGAUCGGAGAAGGUGGUUUUGGUCCCGUUUACAAGGUAACCAUAUGCAACACUUUCUGCAGGAAAAUUGUUCAUGAUGGAACCUGGUAAUCAUGUUUUUCUCAUUUCAAACGCAGGGCACUCUAGCCGAUGGCACUAUGAUCGCUGUUAAGCAGCUAUCAGCUCGAUCGAAGCAAGGAAACCGUGAGUUUGUGACUGAGAUUGGCUUGAUUUCAGCUCUACAACACCCUCAUCUUGUAAAGUUGUAUGGAUGUUGCAUUGAAGGAAAUCAACUGAUGCUUAUAUACGAGUACCUGGAAAACAACAGCCUUGCUCGUGCAUUAUUUGGUACAAACCUCAUCCAAAUGUCUAUCUGUUCUAACAUGAAUGAGAAGUAUGUGAAUACAUAUAACUGAGCCUCUUUGUAUUUUGGUAAUGGAAAGGGCCACAAGAAUCUCAAGAAUCUCAGUUGACAUUAGAUUGGCCAACAAGAAUGAAGAUCUGCAUAGGUAUAGCAAGAGGAUUAGCUUACCUCCAUGAAGAAUCAAGGUUGAAGAUUGUGCAUAGAGACAUAAAGGCCACUAAUGUGUUGCUUGAUAAGAAUUUAAACCCUAAAAUAUCCGAUUUCGGUUUGGCCAAGCUUGAUGAAGAAGAUAAUACCCAUAUUAGUACCCGAGUCGCUGGAACUUAGUAAGUCUCUUUUCAGAUUCAUUCUCACUGUAUUCAUUGGUGUUAACCUAUAAAAAUGGCUGAUAUAAAAGCUGUAUUUAAUUGAUGGUGUUAAAUUUUCAGUGGCUAUAUGGCUCCUGAAUAUGCAUUGCAUGGCCGUUUGACAGAGAAAGCAGAUGUAUAUAGUUUUGGGAUAGUGGCUCUCGAAAUUGUUAGUGGGAGGCGCAACACUAGAAGCCGCCCAAAGCAAGAACCUUUCAUUCUCCUUGAAUGGGUAAAGUAUAACUUAUCAUUCUUUCUUCCAUUCUUACUCUUGUUCUUUCCAGAAGAAUUUGUUUUCUUCAAUAUAUUACAUUUCCGUAUCAACACACGCAUAUCAUUCAUGCUGCAUAGUCCGUAAUGAAGGAAUUCAUACGGUCCUACUCUUCAAGGGUUCAUUGGAAAGCUUUUAAUAGAAGUUAUUAUACAUAUGAAGGAUUAUACUAUAGAAUGUCAAACACAUAUCACAUAUACCAAACACAGGUACUUUAUAUACAUGACAAAGAAAGUUUAUGCAUUUGUCAGUUUGAGUUUCAUUUUUUUAUCAAAUGAAUUUGAAUGUGGCAAUUAAAUUUGUGUGUUUUAUAGGCUCAUGUUUUGAAGGAGAAUAGGAACUUGUUGGAAUUAGUUGAUACAAGGAUUGGCUCAGAUUGCAACACAGAUGAAGUGAUGGCAAUGAUCAACAUUGCACUAUUGUGCACAAAUCCCACUGCUUUAGCUAGGCCUUUAAUGUCUUCGGUGGUGAGCAUGCUUGAAGGCAAGGCUGAAGUUCAGGAAUACCUCACAGAUACAAGCAUUUCUUCAAAUCGUCAAAUGAGUGCUGAGACUAUGAGAAAGUUGUAUCGGAAACUUGAUGAAGAUGAUACAGAUAUUAGCCAAACAAAGAGUAUGUUAGCUGAUGGGCCAUGGACCAAUUCUUCUACAUUUGCUGCUGAUCUUUAUCGAGUUAAUUUGACUUCUGGAUAAUAGAAAAAUACAGAUUCAACAAAGUAGAGAAAAAAUAUAUAAUUUUCUUGUUUGAUUUUUCCCCAGAAAAUUCGUAUUCCUUUGAAACCAAGGCUUAAAUUGAUACAUUAAAAUAAAAAAAAAAGAAAAAAAAAUUGACAUUCAAUGAAUUUGAGAUUCCAAGUUUAUUUUUAUAGCUCCUCUCAUCAUCAAACUUCAACCUUAUUUUAAAAAAUAUCCGAACUCAUUUCACUGACAUUUAACAAUUUGUUAAAAUAUUUUUAAAUAUUUAUAAUAUUCUAAUCAUUAUAAAUAAAAUGAUAUAAAUAAUCAAAAGUUAUAAUUUUUUGUUAUUAAUAAAGAGAUAUGAAUAUUCAUAAUAAUAAGUUAUGCCGCUUACCUACGAAGAGUUAUAUCACUUAAUAGUUAUUUUUAUUUAAGAGAAGUUAUUUGAAUAAUUAUAUCUCUUAUUCUAACUGUCUCUUUUAAAAGUGUGAUUAUUCAUAAAAAAACACCUAUUGAAAGUUAGGUCUGUAUGAAAAGACAUGAGAAUUUUUAUAAUUAGGAGUGAGAUUUCAUUUAUAUCAUAUACCAAAAAAGUUCUCAAAAGUUCUUUUUAUUCUUCUUCCAUCUUCUAUUAUUCUUAGAUUGUUCUAUAAAUAAAUAUUGCAUAAAUUAUUUAUAGAAAUUAAUUUUCUUGUCAUACUCUGCUUAGUGCUUAGUGAACUAUUUUGGUCAAUACAAAACGUAAAUAGUCACUGGGUUUCAUUUUAUCUUGGAGGUUUGUUAGAAACUUAUUUGCACACCGAGUAUAAUUGAAAACGAAUAGAUCUUAAAGAUAGUGACUUGAUACACGUAUUGGAAUCGUAAGUUAUUGUUUCAUUUUUUUGUUCAUGUUCCAUGUGUGUUUGAGAUUUUUCUCACCGAAGUUUUGCAUUGACAAUUUUAAAGUUUCAUUAUUUUCAUGAUGACUACUACAACACAAAAAAAAUUAAUUACAUUGACUAUUUAGACUGAUUUAAAAAUAUAAAGAUCAAAUUAUAUUAAAAAUUAAAAUAUUUCGAAUUUAGACAUAUUAGAGUUACUAUAUUGUAAAAUGAAAAAGGGAGCAUGAGUGGGUGUCCAUGUGUCGUCGUCCUUUUUUAUAUAUAUAAGUAUAUAGAUGAUAACUUUAUGAGCAAAAGUAAAAAUAUAUAUUUUAUGUUGUUUAACUUGAAUUUUAGUUAAAUUACCUAUAAGAUUUUAAUAUGACUAGUUUAACUUUUUUUUAUUUAACUCAAAUAAAUUUAUUUAAUUUCAUUCGAAUUUUAUUUUACUUUAAUUUUUUUAUUUUUAUCUAACUCAAAAAUAUUCAUUUGAUUUAAUUUGAUACCCUACCAAAUUGUUAAAUUAAUUGCACAUGUCCUUUUAACAAUUGUCUUCCUGCUAUAAAGUCGUCAAGUCAUUUGUCUGAACUAGCUUUCUGUCAAAGGUCCCUAUCCCUAUUCUUCUACUUGAGUCGCUGGAAUUAAAUUAUGCACUAUAAUUAAUUAAUUUUUAAUUAUUAAAUUAGUCUUGGAUCAGUCCAUAAUAUUUCAUUUAAAAUGAAAUUGUAAAUAAAAAUAAAAAUAUAUUCCUAUUUUAAAAUUAAUCUACUUAACAAUAAAUUUGGACCUCAUUUCAUUAAAUACCGGUGCAACACUAAAGGUUUAAUUUGCUGUAGUGAACCAUCCCCAUUUCAUUAAAUUCCGAUGGGUAAUAUCCUUUGCAAAGUCGUACGAAAACACCCAAUCACAGGACAAUAAUUGAACCUUUGUUUUAGUGUUCACUUUACGUCUCCUUUUUCAUUUAUUUUCCGUCGGCAGCCAAAUCAUUUUCAUCUUGCUUUUCAUUUUUCAUCUAAAAGAAAUUUCCAACUUCCUUUUAGAAAUUCCUUUUCCCAACUUUCAUAUAUAGUCAAAUUCCAACUCUCAUAGUCCAACAUAUUUAUGAAAACCCAGUUUCGUAUCAAUCCAAAAAUAUAUAUAUUCCUUUAAUAUGUUGUUUCUUCGACAUGUUUUGGGGUCAAUAUUCAUAGUUUGUUGCCUUACAACGCUUACAGAUGGAGCUACAAUGACGAAGGUAACUCAUAAUAUUAAGCUUCCAACCUUAAUUUGGUGAAUUUUUCUAGUAAAUUUCUCUUAUUGGUUUUUUGUUACGGUGGAAGCUUUGAAAAGCAUUGGUAAAACAUUGGGGAAGACAGGGUGGGACUUUGGUAUUGAUCCAUGCAGUCAACGCCAUAGUUCACUAUUUAUCAUGUCGUCCAAAUGUAAGUAUAUAUAUAUUUCUUAAAAAGAAAAUUUAUGCACCAUUGUAUUAUGUACAAACUUGUUAGACUAGUUUAUGGAUUAUAUGGUUUUUUUAAUCAUAUGAUCUAAAUUUAUGAAGAGAGGCAUAUGCAAUUCAAGUUUUAACAAAUAUGAGAUGAUAUCAAUUGAACGUACUCUAUCACAUAUGUACAUAAUUAUCAUGUUUAAAAUAUGAUAUUAUGCAGUCAAUCUAUUCUAUACUAAUAAUAAUUAUUUACCAAAAUUUUAGAUGUUAUAUAAAGUUGGUAAUUAUGCACAUCUAACAAUUUUUGAAAUACCUGUAAUAAUAUUUGAGAUUCAAAUCAUAUUUGAAUUUUUAAAAAUUUUAAAUUAAAAACUAUAAUGUAUUAUAAGUAGUGAUAUUUAUAUUGCGUAAUUUCAUUUAUUAAAAAUUAUUUUAAUUUAAAAUACUAUGAAAAAGUAUAGUUUGAAUAUCGAUAAUGAACUGACAAAUAUCUAAACUAACUAAGAAAAUCGUAAUUACAAACAUUAAUGAAUAGUUUAUUAAUGUAAUUUCAUUUCUUAAAACAUCUUAACUAAAUUUUAUUAUUUUUAUUUAACUAAUUCUAAUAAAAUUUAAGAUAAGAAGUUACAAAAAAAUAAAUUAGUAAAUAGUGUAGUUUUUAUUUUAUGGUUAUUAUUAUAAAAAAAUAUUAUAAAAAAAUAAUAAAACAUAAAAAAUAGAUUCUACGAUAAACUUAAUUGUUAUAAUAAAAUAUUAUUAUAGAAUAUAAUUAUUAAAAAGAAAGCAGACUGUAUACAUAAAAAUUCUAAAUAACGAAAAUUGAAAACUUAAUUAAAACAUAUGUGUUAAUUCUAGAUUGCUAGUUGAAUGUUGUUAUCUACGUUUUUCUGGUAAGGACUUUACUGAGUAUUCAAGGGAAUCGAAGCCUUUUACUUUACUGUUUUUUCUUUAAUAUCCAUUUACUUUGUUGUUAAAUAAUAUAUAUGUAUAUAUAUAAAUGCCACGUGUUUUUUAAAUAUAUUUAUAGUAUUUUCAAAUAUAUUUAUAAUUUAGUUAAAUAUAUUAUUUUUGUUAAUACUAUUUAUGAUUAAAAAAUACGGAAAGUAAUUAUAUUUAUAUUUAUUAUUAAAUAUUUUGAAUUAAGUUUUAAAAUGUAUAAAAUUUUAUAUAAAUUACUCAUAUCAUAUAUAUAUAUAUAUAUCAAAUAUAUAUACUAAAGUAAGAUUUAGAUAUAAAAAAGUAUGUUUAUAAUUCAAUUUUAUGUUUAUAAUUUCAUCUCUACGUAUUUUUUUAUGGGGUUAUUUAUUGUUUAAAAUUUAUUUUAAUUUUAACAUUAUCUUUAACUAAAAAUAUUGCGUGAGAAUAGAAUUUGAUGCUUUUUGAAUUGUAAGUAAACUUUUUUUAUUAAUUUUUUUUAAAAGUUUCGUGUAUAUUUUACGAUUUGUAUCAUUUUGAUAAGAUUUUUUUAGCAUAAAUAUUCUUUUAGUAGUUUAAUUUGAAAUUUACAUAUAAUAAUUGUUUAAUUAAAUGAGAAUAUUACUUUUUAAUAUUUCUUAUGAAAUAAAACAUUCAAUUUAAAAUUUUUAAUCGAAAAAAAGGCUUUUAAUGGUUUUUCUCUUUUAAAAGAAGCUUCACCUUUUUACCUUAAAAUUUUUAACUUUAUCAUAUCUAAACUUACCUAUAACCUAUAAGAGGAUAAUAUGCUUCACCGCACUUGAGCCCAGAUUUUUUUUAUUAGCAAUAAUGCCCAUACAAAUUAAGUUAAGAUUUUAUCAAUAAAUUUUAACCUCAAUCUUGCUUCUAAAUACAUUUAGUUAUACUUUUAAGCAAUAGACACCCUACUAAUGCUAAUUUAUCCAAAACACUUCAACCCAAGAAUUUACUUAGACAACAUCAAAUUAUUUUUACGUAAUUAACUUGACCCUUGAAAAAUAAUAAUUUAUAUACACUACUAAACGGUGCAUAUUAUACAAUUUUAAUCAAGGUUAAAAAGAUAAUAUCGUUACUUAAAAAUUCUCAGUUUUUCAUUAUAGAUUUUAGCACCCUAACGUAAACUUUGUUUUGUAUCAGAGUGCUCAAGGCUCAAAAUCUAUCGGGUAUAUGUAUAUUAGGUUGGUGCCGGUCAUCAGUGUCUCAAAACAAAAAAAAUAUUUUUAAUUUGAUAAAGUUGGUGCUGGCCAUUAGUGUACCAAAAAAAAAAUGAGACCUGAAAAAGGUGGUGUCGACCAUCAGUGUUCCAAAACAAAAAAAAAAUUUGAGAAUUGAAAAAAAGUAUUAGUGCCAGCCAUCUAUUGGUCAGAACACAAAAAAAAAUUAUUGUACUUUGGUGCCGGCCAUUAGAUGGCCAGGUCCCAAAUUUUUGUUUUCAAAUACUGGUUUUUGAGUAUACCAGUAUGAUACGAUUUUAAAAAAAUUCCUUGAUGCUGGCCAUUGAUAUCCCAAAAAAAAAAAAUUAAAGCCUAACACAAUCAUCAAGCAAUCAUAGGGUCAAAAUACAAUAGGGUGUCGGCCAUUAAGUUCUCAUAACUCAAAUUUACUGUUUAUUUCAAGUCAUUUUAGUGAAUAUUUUUGAACCAGAUUCAUUUUUAUAAAUAUUGUUUUUUUGGGUUAAAUGGAUAAAAUAACCUCACUUUGUGGUGAUUAUGGCUUGCUAGGAGUAAGCUUGAUUUCUAGGAAAUGAUUGACUUGUUCGCAAGUCUUUUAAGACUUUUAAUGUAUUCAAAUAAUGAAUUAAUAAUAUUUUAAAAAUAGAUGAAUGGAAUUAUAUUAUAAAUUAAAUAUUAAAUUUAGAUAUAUUAAAGGUAUCAAAACUAAACUUAACCAAAGCAUGGGUGAGUAAAAAUAUAUACAAAAAUAUUAAAUAAGAAAAUGGCACUUGACAAAAUUUGAAUUUUUUUACGGUAUUAUAUAAUUUUUAUAAUAUAUCAAAUAUUAACUUAUAUUUUAAAUAAUAAUAAAAAUCUUUAAUUCCUCAAAUGUAUGUUUGUUACAGUGUUUUGUUGCUACUGCCUGACAUGUUAAUGGCACCAGAUUAAAAUGUGAUAACUUAAAAUAUUCAGAUAUAUAAUAUAUAAAAUUUUCAUUUGAAUUGGGUACUGAAAAAAACUUUUAGGGUGCUGGCAGCACCAAAUUUUAAAUAAAGUAAAUUGCUUUAUAAUCCAUCCUUAUUUAUUAUUUUCUUUUAUUCCCUUGCAAUACCAAAAAUAGAAAGGCCUCUAUGAACUAAUCCAAAAGGUUUUUUUUAUCAAAAAGUAUUUUUGUAAAAAACUGUUUUUAACUGAAAAUAAAUUUUAUUUAUUUUUCAAAAAAAUAAUUUUUUAUUCAAAUAAUGUCUAACAUAUUAACUAUAUUUAUAGUAAUUUUUGAAAGAUUUUAUAAUUAUAGUUCUAUACUGUCUCUGUAAAUAUAAUAAAAUUAUAAUUAUUCUAGAUAAAAAAGAGAAAUAAGAGAGAAUUUUUUUCGAUAAUUAUAAUUAUCCUUAAUAAAAUUUGAUCGGGGUUAUGAGGACAUUUAAUUUUUUUUUUUAAAAAAAGAUAGAUAAAAAAGAGAAAUAAGAGAGAAAUUCGAUUGAUGGAAUAUUUAAGAAACCGAAUGUGGUUCACAGAAUGUACCAAAUUGCUAAAUUAUUGACACCUGUCCUUAUCUAGGAUUAGUCUUCCUGCUAUAAAGCUGUCAGCUCAUUGUUUGGGGCUUUUUAUUAUAAAUACAGAAUUAAAUUUUACUAAUUUUUAUAUAAUAUUUAUUUUUAUAUAUAAUCUCACCCAAAUUUUAUAAUGUUAUUUGAACUAAAAUUUGAUUUUUUAUAAAAUUAAUAAAUUUAAAAAUUUUAUAACUCAACAAAUAAAAUCUUUUGUUUAAAAUUAAUGGUAAAUGAUUUGAUCUUUUUAAUUCAUUUCAUGCAAAUUUUAUUUAACAAUUUGCCAACACAAUCAAGUGUUCCAAAUUGAAAAACAUCUAAUCACAUAAAUUUGGGAUGCAACAAUCAACCUUUUUCAUAUUCUAUCAUCUCUAAGAAAUUUCAAACUCUCAUAGUUCAAUGUAUUUACGAAAACUCAAUCUUUAUUAUUUAAGAAAAUUAAAAUUUAAAAUCCAGCCAGAUAUCAGUAGUGCUAAAAGUCAGCUUUGGAGGCAGCAUUUAUUUGAAAGGCAAUAGAGAUCAAUUCUUUUAAAAAUGCCUCUUUUUCGAAAUCAGUAAGUUUAAAAGAUUAAGAAAAUAUCUAAUUUUAAGAUUAAUUAUAUGCAUGACUUGAUUUCUAUAAUCUUCAACAUUUUGUUCCUCUACGUUUUAAUCCUAUGCCAUCAAUUUGUUCAACCACAUAAAAAGAAAUAGUUGUUUUAGUCUCUUUAAAAAAAAUAGAAAUCGGGUCAUUUUUAUAAUUAAUCUUGAUGUUAGGUUAUUUUCAUAAUUUUUAAAUUUACAAGAUUAGAUUACUAAAAAAACCUUUAAAAAAUUAAUGUGGUACUAUCGGAUCGCCCCAUAUUUUUUUUUUGUAUUUUUUUCGUUUGAUGUAUUUUUAAAAAUAAGAAUAUUUUCUUUAAAAAAUUGGCUGGUGCCGCCUAACACACCAGUGAAAUCUAUUAAAAAGAUAAUUUUUUUCACCAUGAAUACUCAUAUUUUUCAUAGGUAUUUUGAAAAAUACAUGCUACUGACGCCCUCAAAUUUUUUUAAAAUCAAUGAUUGGGUAAUAAUGAGGGGUGGUGGUGUCGAUGUGUGAGGCAAUACCAACAGCUACUAUAAUAGCUCUAUCUGUUUGUCAAUAUUUUACCUAUUAUAGAGAGGUGAUUUGUUAUAUAUCUAUACCAACAUGCUUGAUGUAUGAACUAAUACAUAUACCUAUAAUAGUAUAUGUAUAUUAGCUCUAUCUAUCUGCCAAUAUUUUGCCCAUUAUAUAGAGACGAUUGUUAUAUAUACCUAUAAUAACAUGUUAUAGAAAUAUAAUUGCUAUAAAUCUAUAAAAGAAUUCAUAUAUUGAAUUUCAAUAAAAGAAAAGAAAGUGAAAAUUAUAUGAAAAAAAGAAAGAAAGUGAAAAUCAAAUUAAAAAAAAAAUUUAAAAAAAAAAAACUAUUGUAGGUGCAUGCACUAUUACUUUAAUGUAUAUUUUAUUUUACAUUUUAUAUAUGAUUAUUUAUGAAGUUCAAUGGAUCAGUAUGAGUUAUUACAUUGAAUUAAUUAAUUUAUCAUAAGUUAUUAAAUUCAAGUAAUCAAUUAAGUGUAUGAUGUUUCAAAUUUAUAGUAGAAUAUUUAAUUAGAAAACUCAAUAAUUUAUUGAAUUGACUCGUUAAAGAUUAUUUUCAUUUAAUAACAUAUGAUUAAAAUUUUAGAGAUUUUUCAUUUGAAAUUUAAAUAUUUUAUUAAAAUAAUAAAAUUAUAAUUAAUAGGCUUGCUAAUAUGAUAUAGUUAUAAUUUUACUUAAAUUUUUAGACAAUAUAUAGUUAUAAAGAAAUAAUUUAAUAAAAAUUGUACUUAAUAACUAUGGAUGUUACUGUUACAAGUAAAAAAUUAUUAUAAAUGAUUAAAAUAUAAUAUAAAAAAUCAAAUUUAUUUACUGAUUGCUAUAAGGAAAUGCUAUUAUAACGGUUAUUAUAGAAAAAGUUAGACUAUAUAUAUGAUAUGUAUUAAUAAUUAAUACAUAUACUCAACAAACAACAUCCCAUGCAAGAUAUUUUUUAACUUGUCAUUAUGAUAAAGUAUCAUUUGAAUGGUCAUGCAAAAACAUUGAGUCUCUUUUUCUUUUAUUCUCCACAGGCAGCCACACAUUUUCGUCAUGCUUUUUCUUUCUUCAUCUCAAGAAAUUUCCAACUUUCAUUUAUUUGUCUUUCAUCUCAAAGUAAUUUGCAAUUUCGGAGCAAAAAUAUAGGAAACUUCCAACUUUCUUUUAUUUUCAAUCAUCUCAAAGAAAAUUCCAACUCUCAUAAUCCAAUAUAUUUAUGAAACCCAAUCUUUCAACCCAUUUUUUGUUCAUUCAUAUCAAGCCAAAAAAAAAAAAAAAAAAACCCUCUUGAAUCCACUCCAAAAACAUUCCAAUAUGUUGUUUCUUCGACUUUUUUUUGGGUCAAUAUUCAUAGUUUGUUGCCUUACAACGCUUUCAAACGAAGCUUCACUUCCAAAUGCUGAAGGUAAUCCAUAAUAUUAAGCUUCAAAGCUUAAUUUGGUUAAUUAAUUCUUUUAGUAAAUUCCACACUUUCAUUUUUGUUGUUACAGUGGAAGCUUUGGAAAGUAUUGGUAGAACAUUAGGGAAGACAAACUGGAACUUUACUGGAACAUGCAUUCAAGGCAAUGGUCGGUUGGACCAACCUUCACCCGAGUUUAAUGAAUCUUAUGUUGAUAAUGUUAUAUGCGAUUGUUCCUUCAACAACUAUACUACCUGUCAUGUCAUUCACAUAUAAGUAUAAACAUAUACAUAUUAUUUUAUAAUGAAAAUUUUAUCUCCCUUGAGUUACGUCUAAACUUGUUAGAUUUUAUUUAUGAAUUAUAUAUGAUUUAAUAAGCAUUUAAUCUAAAAUUUAUUAUUAAAAAGUGAAGAGUAUUUUAACUUUGAAUAUGAGAUGAUGCCUCAGACUUCAUAUUAUAUAUAUGUUAAAUUAUUUGACAAAUGAAGAUAUUAAUCAACUUAAAUAUAAGAUUACAGGAAGUUUAAUUUUAUACUUUAUUAAUUUGUUUAAUAAAAGUUGUGGAUGAUGCACAGAGAGCGUUUAACAUCACUCCACUUUCCAGCCGACAUGCAUGUACGUCCAACCCACAAGAUAUGAUCCGAAUCUUAGAAAACAAUGGUAUUACAUAAGAUAUAAAGGCAUAUAUGGACUCUUCUUAUUAUAUUUACAAAUUUUAAUUAAAAAUAAUAUAUAAAAACAUGUUUCCAUUUAAAUUUAACUAUAAAAUUCUGGAUAAAUAUUUUCUUUUUGAAAUUUAAAUUUACAUAUUAUAAUUGUUUAACUUCUAAUUGGUGCAUACAAGUACCUAUUAACUAAACAAAUAUAAUGAAGCUUGUAUCUCUUUCCAAUAGUUUAAUGUUAUUUUAAUAGUUUCAUAUAAUCUAUUCUCUUAUCUAAAUUGGAUUCAAAUUUUAUUUAAUUUCUAAUUAAUUUAAUAUUAUAUCAUUUAGAAAUAAGUAUGUUAUUUUUUAAAACUUAAAAGUACUAUAUAAAAAUUUAUUUUUCAAAACAUACCAUUAAAUUAUUGAUUUUUUAUUUACUUGAAAAAUAUAUUUUAGAAACAUUUAUGGCAGAAACUUUGAAAAUUUUCCAAACAAGGCUCAAAAGUUAUAAAACAAAAUCCAUUUUCUUAAAAUAAAAUCUAAAAAUUUAAAAAUUAAAAUUAAUAUAGAUCAAAUCAAAUUGAGUUAUCAUGAUUAAAAAAGAAAUAAUCGAACCAAAUUUAACUUUGUCCUAAAUUUCAGUGUAUAAAAUUACAAAAAAAAAAAACAAUUUAGUGGGUUUAAUAAUAAAUGACAUCCUUAAGUAAUUGGAAAAAUUAUAGGGUAAAUUUUAAAUAGAAAAGAAACUAACUUGGUUUUUCUAUCAGACUACUCAAGGGACAGGGCCUUUCGGGUACUCUCCCACUAAACUUGACAAGUCUCCCUUUUCUGCAAGAAUUGUAAGCAAUGAAUUAACUUUGCAUCAAUUAAUUACCUAAAUAUCUACUAAUUAAUUUGUUGUUUUAAAUCUAUUGUUACAGUGACCUAACUCGAAACUAUCUUAAUGGCACUAUUCCUCCAGGGUGGGGUUCUUCUACGCGACUCAUUAAGAUGUAUGUUUAUUUCCUUCUCCUUUAUGUAUGUCUUUCGUGGUGGUAUGAAUUAUAACAAUUACUUUAAUGCAGAAAAUACAGAUCAUUAAAUUCAACACAUGUUAAGAAAUUAAAGUAGAGAUUUAGAGACAUACCAUUUGAAGAGGAUGAAGUCACAUGAUUGAAGCUUUAAAUUUCUCAAUCUCUAUUUCCUCAAUCAAUCAUAAAAUGUUAUUGGAGGUAGAGUUAAUUACAAAGCACGGGCACUAUCCUACCACCAUACAACAAGCAAUGAAUUUCUCACCGCCUGAUGGUAGCAAGGGCAUCAACUCACCUAUUCUCAUCUCUACAAACAUACACCAUCUUAACAUUUGAAAUACCGAUAAUACAUUGGUCAAUAAUCAAGUCUUUAUUAUUUUAGAGAGUCAAAGUUUAAUUUUAUAUUUAUUAAUUUAAAUUUUUAUAAAUUUUAAUGGUUUCUAAAUGAAAAAAAAAUUAUUUUAGGGGAUCGGGUACUUGCCAGCCCCUUUAGCUACCUCUGAGCUCGUUACUUUUUGUGAAUAUUUUUUUAUAGUUUAGUUUGUUUUCUUUUAAUGCGAUUCAAACAUACUGAAAAAUACAGUAAAGUCUAGAUUCUAUAAAAUUUCAUUAUUCACUAAUCUUUCAAUUCUUUCCCUAGAGAACCUUCUAUGCUAGAAGAGUGAAGAGUGUUCGUUAAUUAAACCAAUUUUGAACCAAUAUUUGAAUGCAAGGUUACUUAAUCUUGUGCAAAUGCACGGUUCAAAGAAAUUUUAUAUAAGCUAUCGUAUAAAACACAAAAACCAACUAUUAUUGAAUUAAACAUCAGACUUAAUCUUUCACAACCAAAAAGUAAUUGAAACUAAAAUUCUAGAAAUCCAAAGUACAUACAAAGUGUAAGGAAUAGAUGUCAACAACUAUCACUUCCACCUUGGGAUAUAAAUGAAUUUCUCACUUUCAUUCAAUUUAUUGGUUGUAAGGAAUCCCCAAAUUAGAUUGGGGAUAUGAGUAAUGUCUCUAAAAUCAAUCCUUCUUAACAUGUCUUAAUGUUUUGUCACAGAAAUAUUACUUGACAAUAAAUUUCCCAUCAUAACUCUGGUACCUUUUCCACAUCCACUUACCUUCUUUAGCGGACAGUUAUUUCCUUUAGUACAUUUAUCUUUCUUUUUUUCUUCGUAGCUCCAUAAGUUGCAACUAGAGUUAAAUGUUGUUCAUUCCACCGCAUUCUCACUUAUUCCUAAACGUACUUACUAGUCAUCUCAUUCAAGUUCCGCUGCUCACUAAUGAUGUUAUAAUAAAUCUUGAAUGGAGAAAACUGAGGAAGUGAAUUAAGGAUGAAAAGCACCAAAAAGAAUCUAUCCACAUUCACCCUUAAAAGUUUUAAGUUUUGCAAUUUUUUCAUUCAUGUCCAAUAUAUGUUGUUGAAUUCCUUUAUGACAAUCAUGUUGUUGAAUUCAGCCAUCAAAAGGCCAAUAAGAGACUUAUUAGCAUGUUUAAAAUGCAACUCUACGGAUUUUAGAAAAUUCGAGAUUAUGUCAAUUUAAGGAACAGAAAUCUUGAUAUUCACAACAAUAGUCAUUCUCAUAAACAUAAUACUAAGUCUGUUCGACCUUAUCCGGGCUUUUGAAUAUUCCACCAGCUCCUCUGCAAUUCUAUAGUAACUUUCGGAACUUUCUCGCUUAAUAAAGCCAUGUCAAGAUCUAGUAUAUCAGACGAAAGUUGAACCCUUUAAUACCAUUAUAAGAAAUUCAAUCCAUUAAAAAUCAUCAUUCCAGAUGCAAGAGAAUCUAAGGUAAUAGGAACUGUAUAAUCCUCGCUUAAUGAUAUCACCUAAGUUUUCCUUUGGGUAAACUCCAAAAUAUCAAGUAUUCACUCAUUAUAUGUAUUGGUAUUACAUUUAAGCCUAACAUUUUUGCGCUACCUACAUGUUACCUAUAAAUAUUCAUUACACAAAAAAAUAGAAAGAAAUACAAUUAAUGGUAAGUGACUACCCUUUUAAGCUAGUACGAUUCUCCAUUUUAAAACCAAAAUCAAGACUACUAUAUAUUUAAUCUUUUAUGUAAUUUACGACGAUAAUAGUUAACAAUUUAGGUCAGUUUCACAAUGAUCUAAAUUAUUGAAUUUCAUUAAAAUAAAUUAACUAUAAUAUUCACUAUCUUAUUUUAAAAUUAUAUAUUUCUAAAAUAUAAGUAUUAAGUCGAAAAUAUUAAAGCAUUUUAAUUAUAAUAAAUUUCUUUGACUACCAUGCAUAUGUAAAACAAUAACUCAAUGGCAAAUAUAACAUAAAUCCCAUUGAGAACUUUAUAUAUAAUUUCAUAUGCAUAAAGGAGCGAAUAAGAUAAUGAAUAUAUAUAAUGUUUCUAAAUGCGAAAGAUUUAUUGUAUUUCAGUUCCCUUCUAGGAAAUCGAUUAACUGGUUCAAUCCCAGAAGAGCUAGCAAAUCUCAGAAAUCUCACCAGCUUGUGAGUUAGAUUAUAGCAACUUCGAAUGUAUAUAUAUGAAUGAUAUUUUUUUUCAUUUUUUAAUAAACGUCUAAUGGAUAAUUAAUUUUAUUUAUUGAAAAAACAUUGCGUAGAGUCCUUGAGAACAAUGGUCUUUCAGGAACUUUGCCUGCAGCGCUGAGGGAUCUACCCAAAAUUGAGAAAUUGUAAGAGAGACCCUUCCUUUUUUAAAAGAAAAAAAAUUUCUAGAUGAAAUGCAUUUCAUUAUAUAUAUGUAGUAUUUUUAUCAUGUAAAUGAUUUAAGAUCUAUUUACUGGUUUUUUCAGACAUCUUGGUUCCAACUAUUUUACUGGGACAAUACCUGAAACCUUUGCUAGUCUGACUUCAUUGAAGGAAUUGUAAGCAAUUCUAUUUUCUAGUGUUCCUUUUAAUACAUAUCAUUCGUAUUUUUCAAUAUAUUUUAUAUGAUAUAGUUUUGAUAAUUUUGUAUUCUCAACAGUCGGAUUAGUGACAACAAUUUUACAGGACAAAUUCCUGACUUCAUAUUCCGAAAUUGGACAAAUCUUGAAAAGAUGUGAGAAUUUAAUUUAACAUUUUCUUUAUAUACUUUAAGUUUUUUUAAUUCAUUAGAAUUUUUGUUUUAUCAAUCAAUUAAAUGAAUCUAUCAUUUUUGUAAUGACAGAUAUAUUGAGGGAAGUGGUUUGAGUGGACCAAUUCCAUCCAUUAAUGCUACUUUACUUAACUUAACAUACAUGUAAGCUAUAAUAAUCUUAAAAGAUGGUGACAAUAUUCGUUAUAUAAAAAUAAAGACAAUUUAAAUUCUUAUUUAUGUUUGUAUAUGGUUCUUGAUAUUGUUGUACAGAAUAAUUAGUGACUUGAAUGGAGCUGAAACAAAUUUUACACAACCACUCAUCAAUGCCAGUUUGCCUAAAUUGAAAAGACUGUAAGCAUAAAUCUGAAAUAAGGCAAAGAUAUGAGAUAUUAAGGAGUUCCAAAAACAAAAACAAUGGAAUUAUUUUGUGAUUGAAUUACAGGAUGAUGAGGAGUUGCAAUCUCAUUGGAGAGAUACCUGCUUCUUUUGGGAGAUUUACAUCCAUAAAGAUAUUGUAAGUAAUUACACACUUUCUUUUCUAAUACUAAAAUACCCGGUUUUUGAGAGGUUCAAGUUCAGUCUGAUGGUAGAAAUAGAAUUUCAAAAUUUGCAACCUCCUUCUUUCAUUUCUAACUUGUAUUAGGACAUAAUUACUUGUGAAUUUUGAUGCAUCUAUCUUAUUUGUACUUUUGAUUAUUCAAGAGUUAGAUUGAAAUAUUUUAUAAGAUGACGUCUGGUUUAAUAUCAUUUUUAUAAAUUUUCUUGUAGAGAUCUCAGCUUUAAUAGACUCACUGGAGAAAUUCCAAAUCAGCUUUCUGGCCUUAAUUUCGAUAAUUUGUAAGGAUAUGGUUUUUAGUUGUAGUGUAAACUACAUUUUCUUUUAUUUAUAUACUCAUUUGGGUCAAAUGGAAAUAAAAAAACAACUUGAUGAUUUCUUUUCAUGAGGUUCUUAAAUGGAAACAAUUUUACUGGAUCAGUCCCUCAAUGGGUACAGAAAACAAACGAAAAAGUGUAAGAUUCACUUCUUAUUUAAUUUUGAAUACUAAUCUCAGCUUUAAUAGACUUGUUGCCGAUAUCAAGCUUUUAAUAGAGAUAUUUAUGAGUAUACCUGCAGACUUUUAAUGAAAAUAAUAUUCUAAACUAUUCUAUUUGCAGGGAUCUUUCAUACAACAACUUCAAUGACACAGGUGAAUCAAGCUGUCAAAUAAGCAAAACCGUGUAAAGUUUCUCAUCUAACUCCAUUAGUGGAUCUUUGUUGUAAAUGGUUGUAUAUAUAUAAUUGUGGUUCAUUGUGGAUCUGCAGGAGCAUUGCAAGACUCAAUAACACGUAAGUUUUAAGAUAACAAUAAUCAUUAAACAAAGUCUAUGUCUUUCAUCUAACUUUAUAGUUGUUUUAUCAGGGGAAUUGUUCCAUGUUUGACAAGCCAAAUUACCUGCUCAUCAGAACGUAAGUAUUUAUAUUUGAUGCACUAAUAAUAUAACUCAAUUAUUUUAUUCAAACUGUUGUUGAUUGUUAUUUCCUCAGCUUUGCACUUUGUCCAUAUAAACUGUGGAGGGAGAGAAAUAACUGUUAAUGACACCACUUAUGAAGCCGAUUUUGAUGGAGCCGGGCCUUCGACAUUUUACCAAAGUACCAACUGGGCAUUUAGCAGCACCGGAAUUUUUCUAAGCGAUGACCGCCCUAACGACAUCUUAGUUUUGGACAAUAGACAAGUUUCUGUUGAUGGCGAUGAAAAACAACUCUACGAAAGUGCAAGGCUUGCGCCUAGCUCUUUGACGUACUAUGCAUUUUGUCUCGCCAAUGCAACUUACUUAGUAAACCUCCAUUUCGCUGAGAUUCAGUUCACUAAUGAUCGAAAUUAUAGCAGCUUGGGGAGACGCAUAUUUGAUGUUUACAUUCAG
This 65197-nucleotide long non-coding RNA is filed under the name Gossypium raimondii (Peruvian cotton). RNAcentral describes it as "long non-coding RNA (GRAI_LNC005920)". The record is from RNAcentral. Lineage: Eukaryota; Viridiplantae; Streptophyta; Magnoliopsida; Malvales; Malvaceae.